Molecule: long non-coding RNA, 81337 nt
Filed under: Triticum aestivum (bread wheat)
Lineage: Eukaryota; Viridiplantae; Streptophyta; Magnoliopsida; Poales; Poaceae
Description: long non-coding RNA (TAES_LNC027920)
Rfam family: U4 spliceosomal RNA (bases 56017-56167)
Source: RNAcentral
CACAAUAUUUCUAUCCCAGUAGUCAAAACAUCUACAUAAAUGUUUGAUCUUUGGUUUCAAAAUUGAGAAUUGCAGAUGGGAGGGGAGCUGUCAACCCAAAAGGCUUGGAGUACUACAACAACCUUAUAAAUGAGCUAGUGCAACAUGGUAUGGUUAUUUGUACUAAUCUGCAUAAAUUAUCAUGCACCGACACAAAAAACCAUCUUUCAACAACUAUAUCGUAUAUGCACAACAGUGACAAAUAUGUCAUAGUUGACAAUUUCUUUAUUGUUCUUCUUCAUUAUCUUGAGUUCUGAAUCUGUGUAGCCUUCACGAUUCUUUAGGGAUUCAAGUCCAUGUUAUGCUUUCCCAUCUCGAUUUCCCGCAAGUUUUGGACGAUGAGUAUGCCGGAUGGUUAAGCCCUAAAAUUGUGUAAGCUCCCGCAACUUUCCAUUUGUAAUGGUGAAAUUGCUCAAAAGCUAAAAAUAAGCAGCCUUUCUUUAAUAGAUAACGGAGGUGGCUUAUGCAAAAUGCCUUGACAAUGUUUAGUUGAUUUCUACUUUCCAUUUCCUCACCAGUGGCAUUAAAAAAUGCAGGGAAGAUUUCACAGCAUUUGCGGACGUGUGCUUUAGGGAGUUCGGAGACAGGGUUUCAUACUGGACAACGAUAGAUGAACCUAAUGUCAGCGCACUAGGGUCUUACGACAAUGCACUAUUUGCACCCGGACGUUGCUCCAACCCAUUUGGAAUAACAAAUUGUACAGUGGGAAACUCAACUGUGGAACCAUACAUAGCAGCUCAUAACAUGAUACUGGCUCAUGCAUCAGCUACCAGACUUUACCGAGAAAAAUAUCAAGUGAGUCAUCAUGUGUCCAAAACUAAAAGUGAAGCCUUUUUCCGGCAUGUUUACUCUGUUUUCUUUAAGGAAUAAACUAUUAACCUUUCUGUUUUAAUCUAAGAUUCAUUAAUCAUUACCUGGUUAAUAUUUGUGAAGAAAGUACUGGUUCACUAUACACUGUUUUCAGUGUCUCCAUGAUUACAAUUUGUGUGUACAAGAUUAUUAUAUUCUAGGCAGUUUCAACACAUUAAUUUCAUGGACAAUAAAAAGACUGCUUUUUUAAUUCUGCUUCUUGAUGUAUUUUCACAUGCUAACUUUUAUGUGUACAUAAAAAUACUCUUGCAAGUAGGCUGCCCAAAAGGGAGGUGUUGGCAUAAAUGUUUACUCUUCUUGGAGUUAUCCUAUGACAAACUCUGAUGUGGAUGUAGAAGCAGCUAAAAGAUACUUAGACUUCGUGUUCGGAUGGUAACAUUGUUUGGACUCUUAUGUUUAUUUCCAUGUUCUAGAGAGUUCACAAUCAGUAUGCAGCUAACCAGCUUGUGAUGCUUUUCUAGGAUACUAGAGCCCCUGGUGUCUGGAGAUUACCCAGAUGUGAUGAAGAAAAAUGUUGGGUCUCGACUUCCAUCCUUCACAAAAUCUCAAUCUCAAGUUGUCAAGGGAGCUGUUGAUUUCAUAGGAAUAAACCACUACUAUUCCAUGUAUGUUAAUGAUCGUCCUUUAGACAAAGGCACUCGCGACUAUUCAGCAGACAUGUCUCUUUACCAAAGAGGUAAACAAAAUAUAUGCAUUGUUCAUUAAUUGUAGGCAGAAGGAGUGGGCAGUGCAAUUCAUUUAUCUCGUAUAAAAUAAUGAUGAAUGUUUUUUUAAAGCACACUGUUAAUGUAUAUAUUGACCUAAUAAUUUGUUGCCACUUCUCAAAAUACACACGAUUUUGAGUAACCCAUUGGCCGAGUGCUAACAUAAUAUUUGUUCUUGUGAUGCAGCUUCUAAAACAAUCCCAGGAAGUAGCAAGGUAAUAUUUUCAACAAUGCUUGUUAGAGAAACCACUAGCCUGAACUAUUUUUAGACAUGAUCUCUUCAUACUACAAAUUAUAAUCUAACAAGAAAUACUAAAAUAUAUGACUACACUCAGAGCUCAAAUGAUUUAGCAAGAUAUUGUCCACCUUAUGAGUUGUGAUAAAUAUAUACAAUAAUUUCUUUUGCUUGCAGAAUGUUCCUUCAUCUUCUCAAAGUGACCCGGAAGGAUUGCAAUGUGUGCUGCAGUACCUAACGAAAGCCUAUGGGAAUGUUCCUAUCUAUGUGCAAGAGAAUGGCAAGUCGAUCUAGUCUGGUUGCAACGAUCUCCAAUUUUCCGUUCUACAGAGCUAGAUAAAAUUAUGUCACAAUGUUUUUGCAGACGUCACAGCUUCUAGUUCAUUCUAAUUUCACUAAUAUCCUCAGCCUUCCCCUUCAUCUCCCCAGGUGUUGCAUCUAAUGACACUCUCAAUGACACCGAAAGGAUCGAAUACUUGAAGAGUUACAUGGGUAGCACACUGAAGGCAGUAAGGUUAGCCAUUCAACAAAAGUCACCAAGAAUGUAGUUCAACUCAACAGCACUGCCUUCACACAAAAUGUCCAGGAUUCAUACAUGUUUAUCCUGACAUAGUUUCGCUCUUCAGGAAUGGAGCAAAUGUAAAAGGCUACUUUGUCUGGUCCUUCCUAGACGUCUUCGAGUUCUUUGCAGGGCCCCAGUCACGGUACGGCCUAUACCGUGUCGAUUUUAACGAUGAGGCGCGGCCACGACAAGCCAAGCUCUCUGCUCGAUGGUACUCUGGCUUCCUGAAGAACAAUGGCAGCUAUGUUCAGAACGAGCUCGACAGUACAGAAUCUCGUGCUCUGCAAUGAGCCGUAAAACAGAUAGUAGAAAUGUCGAGUUAUCCUAUGUAAAUAAAUGUUUCAUGUAAAUAUAGUGGUUUAUUACAUAUACAUCAUGUAGUACCUUAUGUACCUACAAGAGUGGUCGGCAGUGCCCCAUGCAUGGCCAUGUCUCAUGAUGGCGGUUUAGGUGUGUUGUAAUAGGUUUUGCUCGGUUUUCCGCAAAUUAACCAGACAAUUCUCUUCGGCUUUUAUCAAUAGAUUGAGCCCUUCAUGCUCCGUUUAAAAAAAAUCUAUAAUGACCUAUUUGAUUCAAAGGAUUUUCAUACAAGAUUUGGAAGAUUAUAACUCUUUGACCUUUUCCUCGUGUUGGUUACUUCGCUUCGGUAACNNNNNNNNNNNNNNNNNNNNNNNNNNNNNNNNNNNNNNNNNNNNNNNNNNNNNNNNNNNNNNNNNNNNNNNNNNNNNNNNNNNNNNNNNNNNNNNNNNNNNNNNNNNNNNNNNNNNNNNNNNNNNNNNNNNNNNNNNNNNNNNNNNNNNNNNNNNNNNNNNNNNNNNNNNNNNNNNNNNNNNNNNNNNNNNNNNNNNNNNNNNNNNNNNNNNNNNNNNNNNNNNNNNNNNNNNNNNNNNNNNNNNNNNNNNNNNNNNNNNNNNNNNNNNNNNNNNNNNNNNNNNNNNNNNNNNNNNNNNNNNNNNNNNNNNNNNNNNNNNNNNNNNNNNNNNNNNNNNNNNNNNNNNNNNNNNNNNNNNNNNNNNNNNNNNNNNNNNNNNNNNNNNNNNNNNNNNNUCGACUAGAAGGUGUACGCCGUAGGUUCGUACAAUUCCCGGCGCACACCCCUCCCUCAUGGGCUCAGCCCGUUUAGUUUUUUUUUAAGUUUUAAACGUCAAAAUAGCAUGUCCCAUCUAGGAUUCGAAUUGAGUCCUCAUGCACUAUAUGUAAGUGAACAACCAUCUGGGAUAGCUAAUCUGGUGUGCGAAUUAACCUUGCUUUCUUCCUGUUGUGCGAGAUAAAUAACGCUAGGGAAAAAAACACAGCACCUACACUCCUUAUUGUUUCUUUCAUUUUUCAUGCACGGUUUUCGCUUGGGUUUUUUCCCUUUUUUUCAUAAAAUAAAAAUUUUAGUAUUUAAAAAAUUGUACAGAAAUUUUAUAAAAAGCUCAUCUCUUUCAAACUUGCUCAGCAUGUGAAAACACGAACAUUUUUUAAAAAGAACAAACAAAAUUUUGAACACAAACGUUUUUUGAAAGAAAAUAAAAAUGAAUUCAACAAAAAAUCAGAAAAAUACGAACAUAAUUUGAAUUCUGCAAAUUUUUUACAUAUAAGAAAUAGAAAAAAUAAACAGAAAAAAGGAAAAGAAAAAGAAACAGAAAAAUAAAACAGGAGAGAAGAUAGACAGAAAAAAAAUAAAAAAAUGCGGUUCACGACCUUCGAGAAGGUUACCAAAACCGGAAAAAAUGGCUGGUAAGCCAAUGUUCCCAAAUCCGUGAAGCCUUUUUGCAACCUUUUUGAAUGAAUUUUUAAAAAAUUUGCGAAAAUUUUCAAAUCCAUGAUUAUAUUUUUAAAAAAUUAUGAACUUUUCUCAAAUCCGCGAGCUUUUUUGCCGGCCCAACACGCGCUGACAGAGCGAUGUCGUGGCCUAGUUGUGCCAAGGCCUAAGCGUUUUAUUUUAUUUUCUAUUUUUCAUUGUUUUCAUUUUUAUGUUUUUUGAAUACCAAAAUACAAGUUUUAACUGAAUUUUAAAAAUAAUUAUGUUAUAGAUUUUUUCUUUAAAUAUUUAAAAAGCAUUUACGGUUUUCAAUUUUAUCUAUGUGUACUUAUUCCUUAUGUUCAUAACUCAAAAUAAAAAAAAUUAAGUACAUGUUCAAAUUAUGAUUUUGAAUAUAUUUUUCUUUUGAACCUGAAAUGGAUGCCUACCAUGGGCAUGCCCACCGGCUUGCAAAAGUUUGAACCAUUUCAAGAAUGUUAAAAAAAACACCAUGUUCAAGUCCGGGUAGGGCAGAAGACUCCGUUUAAGAGCACGUUGUUUCUUGACAUCCGUCAAGUGACCUCAAUUUUUUUAUUUACUUUUAUGACCAUCUCAAGGCACCACUCCAACUUGUUUUGGUUUUCUACAAUAUUUGCAUCUUCUGGAGUUUUCUCGGUCAAAAAGGGCGAUAAAUGACCGGACGUGUCGCAACUUACAUACGGUGUCAAAAAAUCGCUCAAACCUGGCAUGGAUGCCUAAACAUGGGCAUGCCCACCUGUAUGCAGAAGUUGGGGUUAUUUCAAGGAUGUCAACAAAAACACCAUGUUCAACGGAGAGUAUGCGGGUAAGGUCAGAAGACUCCGUCUGAGAGUACACUUUUCAACAUCUUUGAAAUGGCCCCAAUUUUUCCCAUGGCCUUUUAUGACCAAUUCAAGGCAUCAUGCCAAGUUGAUUUGCUUUUCGACAAAAUUUACAUUUUCUAGAGUUUUCUAAGUAAAAAAAGACAGAUACAUGGCCAUACGGUGUCAGAAAUUGUUCAAACCUGGCAUGGUUGCCUACCAUGGUCAUGCCCAACCGGGUGCACCCUCCGUUGAAUAUGGUCUAGUUUUGGAUUUUUUUAAAUGACCCCAACUAUUGCAGGAAGGUGGGCAUGACCAUGGUAGGCAUCCAUGCCAGGUUUGAACAAAUUUCCAACACCGUAUGCAAGUUGUGUCACAAUCGGACAUUUAUCGGCCAGUUUUCACCAAGAAAACUCCAGAAAAUGUGAGAAUUAUCGAAAACUCAAACAACUUGGCACGGUGCCUUUAUUUGAUCACACAAACCGGUGGAAAAAAAGUUAGGUCAUUUUAAUGAUGUCGAGGAACAACAUGCUCUCAGGCAGAGCCUUCUGGCCAACUCGAACACCCUCCAUUAAACAUGGGCUAGUUGUGAACAUUCUUGAAAUUACCCUAACUUUUUCAAGUAGGUGGGCAUGACCAUGGUAGUUAUUCAUACCAGGUUUGAGCGGUUUCUCACACCGUAUGCAAGUUGCGACGCGUCCGCUCAUUUAUCAGCCUUUUUGACCGAUAAAACUCUGAAGAAUGCAAAAUUUAUCAAAAAUCAAAACAACUUCGCAUGUUGUCUUGAAUUGGUCAUACAAGGCCAUGAAAAAAAUUGGGUUAAUUUCAAAGAUGUCGGGAAAUAGAGUACUCUCACACGGAGCCUUCUCGCCUACAUGAACACCCCAACUUUUGGUCUAUGUUUGGACAUCCUUCAAAUCACCCCAAUUUUUGCAAGUAGGUGGACAUGUCCAUGGUAGGCAACCAUGUCAAGUUUGAAUGAUUUCCGACAAUGUAUGCAAGUUGUGACAUGUUCGGCCAUUUAUCGGUCUUUUUGACCGAGAAAACUCCAGAAAAUAGAAAAUGAUUCAAAAACCAAAACAACUUGGCAUUGUGCCGUGAAUUGGUCGUACAAGGCCAUGAGAAAAAAUUAGUAUCAUUUCAAGGAUGUCAAAAGUCAACGUGCUCUCAACGGAGCCUUCUAGGCUUCUGGCCUACCUGAACACCUUUCGUUGAACAUGAUUUAUUUUUAAACAUCCUUAAAAUGACAUCAAAAUUUGCAAACAGGUGGGCAUGCCCAUGGUAGGCAUCCAUGUCAGGUUUGAAAGGAAAAAUAUUUAAAAUUAUAAUUUAAAUAGGUACUUAAAAUUAUUAUUUUAUUUUAUUUUCCCUUUUUUAGCACGUGACAGUUAACCGGCCCAGUCAGGUGGACUCCUGUGAAUAAAGUAUUUAAUUUAUGAACUUUUUUUCAAAUUCGUGAACUUGUUUUCAAAUCGAUGAACUUUUUUCAAUUUUGUCAAAUUCAUGAACUUUUAUUCUAACCGAUGAACGUUUUCCAAUUCCGCGAACGUGUUCCUCCUUGGUGCUGGGGGUGUUUGUGUGUUCCAGGGCCGGUUCAUCAAAAUCGAGGUCUCGAUGUCAAAAUCUUAGUUGGCCCUAUCUUGCUAGAGAAAAACGUCCAACUGGACCAAGUUAUCGUCUAUGGCAGGCUGCAUGCAUAAAAAGUAUUCUGAGGUGUUUUUUUAGUUGCCUUAAUAUAGAUUUUAUUUUAGGCAUUUUGAUGAAACGCCUCGGUGUUUCUCACAUGACUCAAGUGAACGGAGGCAUUUAGGCAUUUUAGAAAAUAUCUUCAUAAAUGGCAGGAAUCCUACAUUUGAUAAUUUUAUAUAUACUUAUAGAAAGUUGAAGUCAUAAAGGUUAUUUCCCUUCCUCUAACCAUAAACUACUGUCUAGCUGGUCGCCCCAAGUUCUGUAUAAGCUUUAAUAUUCGAGAGGUCGCUAGAUCAGAUCCUCAGAAGUGUGAAUAAAACGCAUACCUUUUUUUUUAUGUCCAGAUUGAUAGGCUGAUGGACCGGUCUUGGGCAUCAGCCUAGUGUGUUCUUAUAGAUUUUGUGCUAUUUUUGACACAAACGGACGGUAUAGCGAAAGCUGUGUAGUUGGAGGAGACAGCUCCUAUGUGACGCUAAUUGCGUCGAAAUGUCGGCGUUUCGCACAGGCGUGCCUGCAGGUAUGGGAUUCGAACCGGCGACCUCGUGGACUAGCGCCCGCUAUGCUAGCCACUGCGGUAAACUAGUUUUAGUGCUAAAAUUGCAGCGGGAGAGUAAAAGAACCGAACAUGACAUCGAUUAGACUUAAUGUUUGUUAGAAAAUCCAAAAAUUGCAAACGCGAACAUUUUUCAAAAUUACGAACAAAUUUGUAACAGAAAAUUUCGAAAAACAAGAACAGAGAAUUGAAAUUUUGAACAAAUUUCGAAAAAACACGAAAUCUGAACCACCAAACUUUUUGAAAAAACGAACAAAAUCUAUAAUUGUAAAGUUUUUUCAGAACAGAAACAAAAUUUAAAAGUGAGAACAUUUUUUUGAAAAUGCGAACAAAAAUUUGAAACUCCAAGAAAUUUAUCUACAUGAUUUUCUUUGGAAAUUUUGAACAUUUUUAAACAAUGCGAACAAUUUUUGAAAAUGUGAAAAAAAUUAAAAAGUUCGAAGAUUUUUCAGAACAUGAACAAAACUCCAAGAACAUUUUCAAAAAAAUGUUCUUGGACAAACAUUUUAAAACGGUGAACAAUUUUAAAAAAUCCUGAACAAAUUUGGAAGCACAAACAAUUUUUUAAAGCACGAACAUUCUUUGAAUCUUGAGAACAUAUUUUGAAACGGAGAGAAAUUUUGAAAAAUUCCAAACAAUUGGAAGUCCGAACAAUUUUCUAAAGCACGAACAUUUUUUUGAAUCUUGAUAACAUAUUUUGAAACGGAGAGAAAUUUUGAAAAAUCCCGAACAAAUUUGGAAGCGCGAACAUUUUUUGAAUAUGUGAACAAAAAAUUGAAAUUCAAUACAUUUUCUGAAUUUCAGAAGUUUUCUACUUUGUUGUGUAACGAGAACAAAUUUUGAAUUUUGAGAACAUUUUUUGGUAACACGAACAAAAUUUAAAUUUUUGAUUUUUUUAAAUGAAGAGAAGAAAAGAAAAGGAAAUAAAAAAGAAAAUCAUAAACAUUUUGUAAAACGAUGAACAUAUUCUGAAAAAGAAAAAUAAACUUGAAAAAGAAAGUGAAACAAGAAACAAAAAAUGAAAAAAUGAAAAAGAAACAGAAACGAAAAAAAGAAAAAUAAAAAAACGAUAGAAAGCCGAAAACGAACCAGGAAAAACGAUACAUGAAAAAAACCCGGUUUAGGGAACCUUCUGGAAGGUUCCCAAAACCGGUUUGGACGCAGUAUGUGUGGGCCGGCCCAUUUCUGUCGCUCGUUGCGCUGCCCCUGUGCGAUCGCUCGACAGUUUGCCGCAGCGAGCGGCGAAUAGGAUUUUCCGUUGGAGGAAGAGGUGACGAGUUCGAUUCCUUGUGCGAACUAUCUACUUUUUCCAUUUUUACGUCUUCCUUUCAAUAGCAAGUGGCCUAGUGCCUGGUGGGCCGGCCCAGCUGUGCGUGGACGCUCGUCCGUAUGCGCAAUACGCAUGCCGCGUAUCUCUCAGUGCGGGAGAUAUGAGAUAGAGCCAAUUACACCUGUGGUGCUAGAACUUGGCGCAAACUGUCACUUUGAUGCUAGAACUUGUGACAUACAUUGAACUGGUGAAACAACUUGGCUUAGGCGUGCAAAUACGGUGCAAAUCACGUUUAAUACAGAAAGAUCGAUGACUUGGCGCGCCAGCAUGGCAUAGGCCCCGCUGUCGGUGAGUAGAAAGGAAUGAGUGUGGCCUAUUUUAUUGCAAAAACGACCUUGAUUUUUAUUUAUCAUAGAAAAAGCCCCUGUCUACGCCUCAGAAUGCAUUUUGUUUUUCCGCUUCAAUGACUCAUGGGUCCCAGGUUUCUGUACUGUAAAAUUAACCGGGAAAAAGAAGCCCCCCACGGGUCAAACUCAUGAACUACAUCAAGAAGGCUAGCCGACUUAAACCACUCCACCGAUAGUACUCUUUUGCACAAUAUCGAUAACAGUCCUUCAUGUAGUAUGAACCGGACGCACGUGAGGCUUAAAUGGGUUGCAAAUAGUGCUGCCCAUUUUGCUUGCACUAGGUCUUUUUAAGAUAUUUGUAAAACGUAUGUAAUAAAAUAAUGUUUGAAUAUUCACGAGUUAUAAAUAUUAUAAUUUUGUGUGUGGAUAUAAAUAGUAUACAUAACGAUGAUGAUUAGUAAAUAAAAUAUUUAAAUGUACCCCAUGUAUUAUAUAAAAAUGUUUAGUAAAUACAAACAUAUACAAUAUUUAUAUUAAAUAAAAAUGUGUAAUGAAUACAAAAAAUUAUACAGUUGCAGCUUAUAUUUAAAUUAUACCAAAUGAUGNNNNNNNNNNNNNNNNNNNNNNNNNNNNNNNNNNNNNNNNNNNNNNNNNNNNNNNNNNNNNNNNNNNNNNNNNNNNNNNNNNNNNNNNNNNNNNNNNNNNNNNNNNNNNNNNNNNNNNNNNNNNNNNNNNNNNNNNNNNNNNNNNNNNNNNNNNNNNNNNNNNNNNNNNNNNNNNNNNNNNNNNNNNNNNNNNNNNNNNNNNNNNNNNNNNNNNNNNNNNNNNNNNNNNNNNNNNNNNNNNNNNNNNNNNNNNNNNNNNNNNNNNNNNNNNNNNNNNNNNNNNNNNNNNNNNNNNNNNNNNNNNNNNNNNNNNNNNNNNNNNNNNNNNNNNNNNNNNNNNNNNNNNNNNNNNNNNNNNNNNNNNNNNNNNNNNNNNNNNNNNNNNNNNNNNNNNNNNNNNNNNNNNNNNNNNNNNNNNNNNNNNNNNNNNNNNNNNNNNNNNNNNNNNNNNNNNNNNNAAAAUGACUUAUAUUCAAAACGUUAUAUAUUUUAUAUAUUAGCCAUGAUUAAAUAUUAUACGAACAUUGUAUAAUUUAAAUUACGAAUAUUCUUUAUUAUACAAAUGUUGAACUAUACAAAUGUGUGUAUAAUUAUUGAUUUUUUAAUUUUACAAACAUUUUUAUUUGUUUGUAUAUAAUUGUAAUAUACAAAAUUUUAUUUUAAACUUUAUUCUUAAAUUUGUUGUAUUUAUAUUGUAUUGUUUUGAAUUAUAUAAACAUUUUCAUAAUUCUAAAUAUUAUUUCACAUAUAUAUUAAUAUUCUUGAAAAUAAUGCCUUCGUUCAACUACAUUAUGCGUAGUUAUCCUUCUAAGACAUGAAUGCGUCACGGGUGAAUUUGCUAGUAUAGACUAUUUGCUACUUACGGGUCGCUGGUUCGAGGCGGAGCUCUCUCCAUGUUUUAUGUUUUUCAGAAAAAUUGAGAUGCCACCUCGCAAAUAACGACAUGUUCUUUUUUGUGCUAAAAAGUCGAGGUUGUUUUCGGAAAAAGUGGCCACACGCCCUCUCACUGACAGCGGGCCCCACGCCAAGCUGGCAUGCCUAGUCAGCAGUCUGAGCGUACACAAUCAACAUUUGCACCGUAUUUGCACGCUUGAGCCAAGUUAUUGCACCAGUUCAAUGUAUGCCGCAAAUUCUAGCACAAAAGUGACCGUUUGCGCCAAGUUUCAACACCACCGGUGUAAUUGACUCUAUGAGAUAAUCACAGCCGUUGAUGUGUUUAAGGGGUGCCCCGAAGCGGAAGUGAAGAUUAAAUCAUGUAGUAUUUUUUUUCCUAAGGAUUUGUUCUCUCUACAUUUAAUCCAGCAUGUUCCUAUUUGUACUUUUUGGGAGCUUACAAAUGAAACAGAACCUACCAAAACUAUUGUUGGGAGUACCGUAACUCCAUCUCUUGUUUAUAAGAAAGCGAUGGAUGACGAAGAUCCUCGGAACACAUAUUUGAGCCUUAUGAGGUCUAGGAACCCACGGGCAGAGUUGAUUAUGAAGAGGACGUGCCAGUAAGAACAAUCUUCUUCUUGUUAAAGUCUACUAUGAGCAAAUAUACAUAAUCUUCGAUAUCUAGCAAAAAAAAAACAAUGUGACUGAAUUCCCUCUGAAAAUUGGCAAGGUAAUACAAAAAUAAACUAGAAAAUAAUUCCUCCAUUUUAUUAUUUGGGUCCCAUCUUCAAAAACUCUUGUACCAUUUUAGAUUUGCUUGGAAACAAAUCUGGAUUAAGAGUGGCCAGUAGAUUUGAACCUUUACAUGGUUAUGUGCAUCAUAUGAUGCAGAGGUCCGGGUUAACCCCUUUCCGGAAAAAGAUUUGAACCUACACCAUAAAAAUUCUUCACUUUCCUCCUUAAUUAAGCAAGGAAAACAUUCUAAAUUGCCCGAUCAGCCAUGUUCUCCGACGACCACCUCACGCAUGUGUCCUCCUCCCUCUCCUAGGGCACGACACAUAGCCACAUUAGUGCAGAACCGGGCUUUAGUGCCGGUUCGUGACGGCCUUUAGUGCCGUUUGGCGAACCGGCACUAAAGAGUGGGGACUAAAGCCCCCCCCCCCUAGUACCAGUUCGUCACGAACCGGCGCUAAAGUGCAAACACGUGGCACGAGCCAGGCCCGUGUGCGUGUAAGACAUUAGUACCGGUUGGUAACACCAACCGGUACUAAAUGUUUGGGUGUUUUUUUAUUUUUGCUUUAAUUUUGUGUUUUUAAUUUGGCUUUAUUUUCCAUUUAAUUUUUUUUUGUUUGCUGGUAUUUCACGAUACUACAAAUUGUACACGUUAUGCAUAUAUAUUAAAUAGAUUUUCUCGUACGUAGAACCNNNNNNNNNNNNNNNNNNNNNNNNNNNNNNNNNNNNNNNNNNNNNNNNNNNNNNNNNNNNNNNNNNNNNNNNNNNNNNNNNNNNNNNNNNNNNNNNNNNNNNNNNNNNNNNNNNNNNNNNNNNNNNNNNNNNNNNNNNNNNNNNNNNNNNNNNNNNNNNNNNNNNNNNNNNNNNNNNNNNNNNNNNNNNNNNNNNNNNNNNNNNNNNNNNNNNNNNNNNNNNNNNNNNNNNNNNNNNNNNNNNNNNNNNNNNNNNNNNNNNNNNNNNNNNNNNNNNNNNNNNNNNNNNNNNNNNNNNNNNNNNNNNNNNNNNNNNNNNNNNNNNNNNNNNNNNNNNNNNNNNNNNNNNNAUAUCAUCGAAUGUCUCACAGCCAACACCAUUAACUAUUCACACAUAUACACAUGUAUAUACAUAUACAAUUUCUACUACAUGUUGCCUUGGUGCCUUCGGAGCACGAUGACAAGUGGUUCAUGGGGGCGGUAGCGGGUAAUAGUAUUCUCCUUUCAGAUCUAUGACCUGGUCGAGCAAAAAUCCGGCUAUUUCCUCUUGAAGUGCUUGUAUGCGGUCCGAUGGUAGGAGCUUAUCCCGCACCGAUCUGAACUGUUAAGAAGGAAAUCAAUAUGCAUGUGUGUUAGUUGUGUGACUAAAUAUCGAUAAUGGUGUGAAUAGUGUUUUGACAAAAACGUACCCAGUCCUGUCUAUCAGAUCUGCUUCUUUCGCACGUCAUCAUGCGAAUGUUCUCGCAAACGUAGAAUGCACAUAGAUUAUUCCCCGACGCCUGCCUCAAGGCCUUUACGAGAAUGGAAUUGAAUCAUAUAAUGAUUAAUCAAGCAUGAUAAUUAAUUAAUGAUAUUGAAACAAGAAUUAAAGAGAUGGUAGCUAGCUAGUACUACUUAAUUACUUACCUUUGGUCGAUGCCAAAACAACUUUUUGGCCACGUGCCUGGAGUCACCUUAAUGAACUUUGCCCAUGCCCUGCCCGCCGGCAAAGAAAAUUAAUAAAGGGGUUAUUAAAUAGUUCAUAUCAGGAACUAAUAGUUAAUAAUGAUUGAAAUUACCUAUUGACUAUCCCAUUCACGGUGGUGUAGUCUUUAUCUUUUUUAGUUAGUGAGUCCAGUAAUUCAACUUUUCCUUCCUCAACUUUAAUGUCUAACAAGACCCAGUGCCAACUGCAUACGCACACGUUUGUAUGUCUUAAUUAAGCGGGCAUGUGCAUAAAAUUAAUCAACUACCGUAAACCGUAUACACUUAAUUAUUAACAUCUAGCUAGCUAGUAAGCAAAAACAAAAUUUGUAGUACAAGACAGUGUGACUCACGGGAAGUUGUAAGGAAGUAGUAUAUCUUCAUUGGUAUUGAGGCGCUUCAAGAACUCUAGCAUGCUUUCCUCUACUUCAGCUUGACAAUGUUCAAUCUGCCAUAUGUCCUCAUUAAUGGUAUUUGGGUCAAUGAACCUAACGCCAUAGCGUCCAGCUUUUUUCAUUUCAUACAUCUUCAUCCUGCAUAUAAUACCACAGAAAAAGAAUAUAGUUAGGAUAAUUACAUGUAAUGAUUGAUCAAAAUUAUCACUACAUAACUAGUUUGAGACUUAAAUUACAGAAAGAAAUCACUUACAGACAAUAGCAACUGACGAUAGACUUGUCGAGUGCGUCUUGAUUAAAUAACUGAAAUAGUUCUGGAUACUCAAUGGUCAGAGCUUUCUCAUGGUAAUAAUGCUCAUGCUUGACAUUCACCAUGAGGGACUCUCGAUUGGAAAUCUUGGUAAUGUUCAUGUACCAUUGAUGCAAUUGAUACAUUCUCGUUGGGAGGUCCUUGACCUUGUCUGGAUGGACCAAAGGUUUGCCCCGGACAUAUUGCCAUGCUAUUUCCGAUUCUUUAAGCGUAGGCAUGGGCUCGAUUUCGAGGAGUUGUCCAACAGAGAUAUUGAGCAUUUGAGCCUGCAUUAUAUGAUCCUCUGUUAUUACCACAUCGUCAUGCUGGGGAACGCUAACGGUUUGCCCACAAUAAUAUUUGGCGCGCGUACUACUCCUCUCAUGUGUUGUUGGCACAACAAGCGGGGGGAUCGCUUGCGCCGUUUGUUCUCCCAACUGGGGAACGGUUUUCCCGCAUUUUUUGCCAGCUGCUUGUUGGCUCGAGCUUGAGCUCGCUUCCUUCUGUAGUCGUGCUCGAUGUGCCUUCCUGAUUUGGCGCUCAUAGUCCGAGUCAACAGGCUUGGGAGCUGGUUCUCUAGCCAUACGAAUGAAGUGGUCAAUUACUUUCUCAGACACUUUCUCCUUUGGCGGCGGCGUCGGUUUCGGUCCAAAAUGGGCGUCCACUUGGGCUUGCACUAUGACUGUGCUCCUUAGUCAUGUCGUAAGGCCUCUGAGGAAGAGGAGCGAGGCUUGGACCAUAUUUAUAUCGCUUGCCUUCGCCUGUACUUCCUGAACUACCUCGACUCGUACCGCUACGCACCAAAGCUGCGGGAUGUCUCUUCUGCGAUUGCUGAGACGGCGGAGACGGCUGACGUGGAGUUGGACCAGGAGAAGUGGCCUGACGAUGUGCCGGACUUGAAGCAGGAGGUGUGGCCUGACACGAUGCCGGACUUGCAACCGGAGAAGUGGCAUGACGCUGUGCCGGGCUUGAAACCGGAGGAGUCAGCUCACGCGUUCGGGGACUUGGAGGAGGUGGCAGACUUCGAAGAGGAGUCAUCUCACGCGUUCGUGGACUUGGAGGAGCGGGAGUCUGCUGACUCGGUGGCGGACUUCGAGGAGUCGGCAGACGACGCGGUGUCGAUGGACUUCGAAAGAUGAUGCAAUCCUUUCUCCAUAGGAUGAUACGAUGUAUGGCCUCUCCCAGUGUGCGCUCGUCUUCACCUCCAGGAAUGUCAAGCGUUAGCCCCGAAUAUGGGUCCACCACUUCAUCAACAAUGACACGAGCAUAGCCCUCUGGAAUCGGGAUGCAAUGGUAGGUUGCUUCGGGGGUAACUGGAAAAGCAACGCCGUCCGCCACCUUCAUGGAUAUGUUCUUCAUUUUGGAGUGUAGCUCGCAGUUAGUGUUCUCUAUGAUGUCAUCCACAGGGUAUUUAUCCAGCAGUGUGUCGCCCGGGGCAGAACCAACGCCGCUUCUCGGCAUGGAUGGGACGAUGCUAUCCAAUGCUGGACGAUCAUCCGCUUGCUGUUGCCGCUGCUGAGACCCCCUUUCCUGGCUAAGUGAGUCGAUCUGCUGUUGCUGCUACUGGAAUUUGAGUGCCAGGUCCGCGUGCCUUGCUUCUAGGCCUUGAAGGCGUUCUGCGUCCUGCUUCCUCUGCUCCUCCUCCAGCUUCCUUUUCUUCUCCUCCUCCAUCUUCCUUCUUGCACGGCUCCUGUAGUCCUCGUUCCAUUCUGAAAAGCCCUCAUACCAGGGAAUAACGCCCAUGCCUCGUGUUCUUCCCGGGUGUUCAGGAUUUCCCGGGGCGCGCGUAAGCUCGUCGUUCUCUCUAUUGGGCGUGAACACCCCCCUUCGAGCUUCAUCUAUUGCGUCAAUUAUCUUUUGUUCGGCUCCUUUUAGACUUGCCUUCCGCGAAACUCCGCCUGUCUUCGGGUCCAACGCUCCCCCAUGCGCAUAGAACCAAGUUCUGCACCUGGGGGGCUAGUGCCGGGUAACCGGAGUGACCCCUGCAUCCUUCAUAUCUUGCUCAGACUUAUCCCACUUAGGCAAUGCCACCGCGUAGCCACCUGGACCCAGCCUAUGGAACUGCGUCUUUCUUGCGGCAUUUGCCUUGUUUUUCAUCGACCGUUCCUUAGAUAUUUCUGAAUCCUUGAAGGUCAUGAAAUUGUCCCAAUGUUCUCUUUGCUUCUCCAGUGUUCCCUUGAAAUCUGGAGUCUUCCUUUCAUUAGCGAUGUAGUUGGCCCAUACAGUUUUCUUGUGGGUGUUGAAUGCAAUUGCCAUCUUCUUAAGAGAAGCGGCCUUGACUUUGUCCACAUCUGCUUUAGUGAAAUGAUCUGGUAGGGUGAAAUGUUCCAUCGGAGAUUUCACCAGGUCUUCUUUGGCUCUUUUGUCGACCCAAGUAACACCUGGACGUUUAGUCUUUGGCUCUUUCCAUUCUUGAAUGGAGAUGGGGAGUUUGCCCUUCACAAGAACUCCACACUGACGAGUCCACUUGUUCGCAAUGUUCUUAGGCGUGAGGGGUUCGCCACUAGGUUUGAUGGAUUCGAUGUGGUACUUUACACCAUCCUUCAACAAUCUGCCCGGGCCUCGCUUUGUCUUGCUAUCUGUAGAAGCAGAUUUGCUCGAUCCGGAGGGCUGAAAGAAGAAAGAUCGAUUCGUUAAUAUAUCUUCAAUAAAAAAACAUGUGAUGAUCACCAUGAUGCAUGCUUAUAUAAAUAUACCUCGCCGGUAGUGUUUGUUAUUUGAAGAUCAGCAUUGUCUGUGUCAUCACAAACAUUGUCUGUGUCAUAAUCAUAAUCAUAGUUCAUGACUUCAUCAGCCCGGUCGUCGAGAUCGAAUAUCUUUUCAUCACCCUCUCCGGUAUUGUUAAGAUAUUGGGAGUCGUCAUCUGCUUCAUUCAGAUCAUCUAGCCUGUGAGGGCUGCGUAUGAUGUCGAACAAUUCCUCUUCUCUCUCUCUGCCGGUAUUGUCCGUCAUAGCUUUUACUUUACUAAUAAUACAGAAGAAAUAUAAAACUAUUUAGUAUUCAAAUUACAAUGCAUGGAUGCAAUUAAUCAAUAAGGAAAAUCUGAAUCUCGAAUACAUCCUCUCGAAUAUAUAAUCUCGAAUACAUCGUCGUCUUAAUAUAUAUAAUCUCGAAUACAUCGUCUCGAAUACUAUAUAUUGAAUACAUCAGUGGCUAGGUACCUAAUAAAGAUCGAGUACUACAGAAGAAUCUAGGGCGCCACUCGCGGUUCCUGGGGCGCGGGCGGUGCACACCCAAAGAGAAGGAACCAUCACAGGAUCAUAUCUCCGAUCAUCUGCCCAAAGAACCCGCCAAGUAGUGGAGAACCUGACGUCGUCCAUAGCAGCCAUGUAGCGAUGGACGUGCUCAUCUUCCUCCCUGACACGACGACGCACCACCUCCGGCGGGGCCGGCUGCCUCUGCACCGAAUGUGGCCCACGCGAACGCCACCAAAGAAGAUCAGGGUCAACGACGGGACCCGAGGUCGGGUUCCUCACCAAGCGGCGCGCCCCUCCAGGUAGCACCUCCCAGUGCUAGCCCGGCGGAGCCCAGUCCUGGACAUGGGUCCCCUGAAGCAUGACGUCGUCGCGAACGGGUCGACGGCGAGGAUGCGGGCCGGGCAUAUCGUCGAGAACAAAUACUAUAUGCCCGCAAAAAGUAACAUUUUUUAAAUGAUUGGAUUGUGAUAACUAAAAUUAUAUAUAUAUAUAUGCAAAUUCUAACAAUUUGACAUUAAUCUAAUUCAUCUAACUAAAACUAAUUCUAAAAUUUUCUGAUUAUAUAACUAACAUUUCCAUAACAAUUCUAAUAUUUAUAUAACUAAAAAAUAGAAAAAUUGCUAACAUUUCUAUAAAUAUUUCUAUAACUAAAAAACAGAAAACAUUUAUAACAUUUCUAUAACAUUUCUAAUAUUUAUAUAACUAAAAAAUAGAAUAAUUUCUAACAUUUCUAUAACUAAAAAACUGAAAAAUUUAUAACAAACAAACUAAUGUGUGUAGUGUGUGUGUGUGUGUAGUGUGUGUGUGUGUGUGUAGUACUGUGUGUGUGUGGACNNNNNNNNNNNNNNNNNNNNNNNNNNNNNNNNNNNNNNNNNNNNNNNNNNNNNNNNNNNNNNNNNNNNNNNNNNNNNNNNNNNNNNNNNNNNNNNNNNNNNNNNNNNNNNNNNNNNNNNNNNNNNNNNNNNNNNNNNNNNNNNNNNNNNNNNNNNNNNNNNNNNNNNNNNNNNNNNNNNNNNNNNNNNNNNNNNNNNNNNNNNNNNNNNNNNNNNNNNNNNNNNNNNNNNNNNNNNNNNNNNNNNNNNNNNNNNNNNNNNNNNGGUCGGCGACGAGGGGCGGGGGCGGCGACGAUCGGGGCAGGGCGGCGCGACGGAGGGAGGAAACAGAGGGAAGAACAGAGGGAAACUGAAUUUUUUCAAGUGUUGUAUAUAUAGGAUGGACCUUUAGUACCGGUUGGAGCCACCAAACCGGUACUAAAGGUCUGUUUUGGCCAGGCCAAGCGACGGGAAGCACACCCCCUUUAGUACCGGGUGGUGGCUCCAACCGGUACUAAAGAGGGGGUCUUUAGUACCGGUUGGAGCCACGACCCGGUACUAAAGAUGUGCGCUGGCUCAAGGCGGUGCGCAAGUUUAGUCCCACCUUGCUAGUCGAAGGGCUACCGCACUGGUUUAUAAGCCCCAGUGCGGUAGCUCUCUCGAGCUCCUCUCCUAAGCAGGCCUACUGGGCCUACCAAUUCAUUGCUACCAUGUGGGCCUACUGGGCCUUUGCGGGCCUGCAUCCUGGCCCAACAAAAGGUUGAGUUUCUAGUCGUAUGCAGGCCGCUUUGGCCCAGUAGGCGGGCUUUUCUUAUUUUCUUAAUUUUUUGCUUUUUUAUUUGUUUUAUUUAUUUGUGAGUUGUUUUUUUGCUGUAUUUAGAGUUUCUUUGUGAAUAUUUUUGCUUUAGGUACAAAAAUUUACAAAAUUUGAUCUGUUAGUUCCGGUAGUUUUCAAAUUUGAAUAGUUUAAAUUUUAAAUUAUUUGAAAUUUGUGUGAAUCACUAGUUUGUGAAUAACUUAACUUUGAAAAAAGAUUUUUCAGUGAUUCUUUUUUCUUAUGUUUAAUAUUAGUGUGUUUUAUCAUUAUAUUCAAUUUGGUAAUGCUUAGGUUAUUUAAAAAAUGAAAUGCCUUUGUAACAUUUUAGUUUUCGUCGGAAACCCUCAUACUUCGAAAAAGAUUGUUCAUUUUGUACACGAAGUGUAUCCAGUUUUUGCCGUAACCCUCUCUACUUUUUUGCACAUGCUAUUUGUAUGAAAUUAUGAUACCAUGCCAACUUUCAACCUUUUCUGAGUUCAUUUCAAAUACUUUUCAAUUUCAGGGUCAUUUAGCUGGAAAAAAAAUCAGUAAAUGCAUGAAAAAAAAUUUGUUUGCACAUAAAAUUUCUUCACGUUUCAAAUGCCAAAACACAUAAUUAACUACCCUAACUAUUAUAGACAUUCCCUCCUGGGUGUGAAACACAGAAGAAAGUGAUGAUAGUGAAGCCGAUCAUAUCCCAGAUCUUUGGGCGUGAAACUUUUUCUUCUCGUGUGUCCCUUUGCGCCGUAGGCAGGGAAAAUCUUCAUCAUUUAACUGGAUGCUCGGGUCAAUAUUCACUGUGAAUGGAGCAAUUUCAUCAAACUUUUCAUAAUCUUCUGACAUGUCUGUCUUGUCAUCCACUCCCACGAUGUUUCUUUUUCCUGAAAGAACUAUGUGACGCUUUGGCUCGUCGUAUGAUCCAUUCGCUUCCUUAUCUUUUCUUUUUCUCGGCCUGGUAGACAUGUCUUUCACAUAAAAAACCUGCGCCACAUUAUUGGCUAGGACGAAUGGUUCGUCUGCAUACAAAAGAUUGUUGAGAUCCACUGUUGUCAUUCCGUACUGCGGGUCUUUCGUUACCCUGCCUCGUGUCAUAUUGACCCAUUUGCACUGAAACAAAGGGACCUUCAAAUCACUUGAUCCAUAGUUAAGUUCCCAUAUGUCCUCUAUGUAACCAUAAUAUGUUUCCUUUCCCGUGUUGGUUGUUGCAUCAAAGCGGACACCACUGUUUUGGUUGGUGCUCUUCUUAUCUUGGGCGGUCGUGUAAAAUGUAUUCCCAUUUAUCUGGUACCCUUUGAAAGUCAUUAUAUUCGAAGAUGGUAACUGGGACAGCGAGUACAGGUCAUUUUGAAUAUCGCCAUCAUUCAGGGCACGUUUCUGCAACCAACCGGCGAAAGUCCUCGUUUGUUCGCGUGUAAUCCAGUCGUCAGACUUCUCCGGGUGUUUGGACUGUAGAAAAUUCUUGUGUUCCUCCAUAUACGGAGCCACCAAGGCGGAAUUCUGUAGAACUGUGUAGUGUGCUUCAGUGAGAGAAUGCCCGUCCAUACAUAUUAUUUGAUGCCCUCCCAGCGUGCCUUUUCCUUCCAGUCUGCCCUUAUGCCGCGAUUCAGGAACACCAAUUGGCUUAAGGUCAGGAAUAAAGUCAAUACAAAACUCAAUGACCUCCUCAUUUUCAUGACCCUUCGAGAUGCUUCCUUCUGGCCUAGCACGGUUCUGAACAUAUUUCUUCAAGACUCCCAUGAACCUUUCAAAGGGGAACAUAUUGUGUAGAAAUACAGGACCCAAAACGUUAAUCUCUUCGCAAAGGUGAACUAGGACGUGUGCAUGAUGUUGAAGAAGGAUGGUGGGAACACAAACUCGAAACUGACAAGACAUUGCACCAAAUCAUUCUGUAACCUUGGUAUGAUUUCUGGAUCGAUUACCUUCUGAGAGAUUGCAUUGAGGAAUGCACAUAGCUUCACAAUGGCCAAUCGAACGUUUUUCGGUAGAAGCCCCCUCAAUGCAACCGGAAGAAGUUGCGUCAUAAUCACGUGGCAGUCAUGAGACUUUAGGUUCUGGAACUUUUUCUCUGCCAUAUUUAUUAUUCCCUUUAUAUUCGACGAGAAGCCAGACGGUACCUUCAUGCUGAGACGACAUUCAAAGAAGAUUUCCUUCUCUUCUUUGGUAAGAGCGUAGCUGGCCUGACCCUAAUGUAUGUCGUCUUUUCCGUGCAUACGUUGCUGGUCCUCCCGUGUCUCUGGUGUAUCUUUUGUCUUCCCAUACACGCCCAAAAAGCCAAGCAGGGUCACGCAAAGAUUCUUCGUCACGUGCAUCACGUCGAUUGUGGAGCGGACCUCUAGGUCUUUCCAAUAUGGCAGGUCCCAAAAUAUAGAUUUCUUCUUCCACAUGGGUGCGCGUCCGUCAGCGUCUUUCGGAACAGGUUGUCCGCCAGGACCCUUUCCAAAGAUUACCUUCAAAUCCUUGACCAUAUCAUGUACAUCAGCACCAGUACGGUGGCGAGGCUUCGUCCGGUGAUCCGCCUCAUCUUUGAAAUGCUUGCCUUUCUUUCUUACGGGAUGCCUGCUCGGAAGAAAUCGAUGAUGUCCCAAGUACACAUUCUUCUUACAACUAUUCAAAUAUAUACUGUCGGUAUCAUCCAAACAGUGCAUGCAUCCGCGGUAUCCCUUGUUUGUCUCUCCUGAAAGGUUACUGAGAGCAGGCCAAUCAUUGAUGGUCACGAACAGCAACGCCUUUAGGUCAAAUUCUUCCCUCAUGUGCUCAUCCCACGCACGUACACCUGUUCCAUUCCACAGUUGUAAGAGUUCUUCAACUAAUGGCCUUAGGUACACAUCAAUGUCGUUGCCGGGUUGCUUAGGGCCUUGGAUGAGCACUGGCAUCAUAAUGAACUUCCGCUUCAUGCACAACCAAGGAGGAAGGUUAUACAAACAUAGAGUCACAUGCCACGUGCUAUGGUUGCUGCUCUGCUCCCCAAACGGAUUAAUGCCAUCUACGCUUAGACCAAACCAUACGUUCCUUGGGUCACGUGCAAACUCUUCCCAGUACUUUCUCUCGAUUUUUCUCCACUGCGAACCGUCAGCGGGUACUCUCAACUUUCCGUCUUUCUUACGGUCUUCUGCGUGCCACCGCAUCGCCUUCGCAUGCUCUUUGUUUUGGAACAAACGUUUCAACCGUGGUAUUAUAGGAGCAUAUCACAUCACCUUGGCAGGAAUCUUCUUCCUGGGGCGCUCACCCUCGACAUCACCAGGGUCAUCGCGACUGAUCUUAUAACGCAAUGCACUGCAUACCGGGCAAGCAUUCAAAUCCUCGUACUCACCGCGGUAGAGGAUGCAGUCAUUAGGGCAUGCAUGUAUCUUUUGCACCUCUAAUCCUAGAGGGCAGACAGCCUUCUUUGUUUCAUACGUACUCUCGGGCAAUUCGUUGUCCUUUAGAAGCAUAUUCUUUAUCAUUACCAGCAACUUUCCAAAUCCCUUGUCAGAUACACCAUACUCUGCCUUCCAUUGCAGCAAUUCAAGUGUGGUGCCCAACUUUUUUUUGUCAGCUUCGCAAUUCGGGUACAACAAUUUCUUGUGAUCCUCUAACAUGCGCUGCAACUUCGUCCUCUCCAGAUCACUUGCGCGGUUUUUCUUUGCAUCAGCAAUGGCCCGACCUAGAUCAUCAGCGGGCUCAUCUGAUGCCUCUUCUUCAGCUUCUUCCCGCAUUGCCGGUUCAGCAUCUUCCCCCAUUGUUGUAUCAUCGUAUUCAGGGAACCCAUGGCUAGGAUAGCCGUCGUCGUCCUCUUCUUCUUCAUUGUCUUCCAUCAUAACCCCUAUUUCUCCGUGCUUGGUCCAAAUAUUAUAGUGGGGCAUGAAACCGGACUCAAAUAGGUGAACGUGAAUGGUUCUUGACAUAGAGUAAUUGUGACCAUUCUUACAGCCAGCACAUGGACAAGGCAUAAAACCAUCCGCCCGCUUGUUUGCCUCAGCGACAAGUAGAAAAGUAUGCACGCCAUUAAUGAACUCGGGAGAGCAUCUGUCAUCAUACAUCCAUUGUCGGCUCAUCUUCAUUACACAACACCGAAUAGACCAAAUUAAUACAAGUUCAUACAUAAAGUUCAUACAUAAAGUUCAUAUACAACACUUAAUUAAAUGCAACAUACAAAUAACUCUCUAGCUAAAGAAUUUAAAUGCAACAACAAAUGCGAUGAAGAUCGCAAUUAAGGUAACAAUUGAUCCAACAACAUAAUAAUACCAAGCCACACUAUCAAUGACAUAUUUCCUAAUCUUUCUAAUCUUCAACCUCAUUUUCUCCAUCUUGAUCUUGUGAUCAUCGACGACAUCGGCAACAUGCAACUCCAAUUCCAUCUUCUCCCCAUCAAUUCUUUUCAAUUUUUCUUUCAAAUACUCGUUUUCUUUUUCAACUAAAUUUAACCUCUCGACAAUAGGGUCGGUUGGAAUUUCCGGUUGACAUACCUCCUAGAUAAAAAUAUCUAUGUCAACUUGAUGGGCAUAAUUUGUCAUAAACACGAAAUGCAACAACUAGUUUCAAAAGAGAAUAUACCACAUCCGAAUCAUAACAAGGACGAGGGCCGACGGGGACGGAUAUCAAAACCAUGGCACUAUGUAUAACAAACAACGUACGGGUAAGAUAAUUUUACGAGUAACUAUAUAUCCAAAUCACAUAAACAUCAAUUUGGUAAUGUAAAACAUUCAUGAACAAGAGCCUCACCAGAAGGUGGUGCCGGCGACGGGACGGUGCGGGCGAUCGACGGUGGUUACGAUGGAGAUUUAGAAGGCACUAAGUAAACCACACCUACAUAUGCAAACUAAGUGUUAUUUUUGUGCUCAAAUUGCAUAUAAAUCAAAUACUAGCAAAUAUAAUUAUUCCUCCCAAAUUAAUCACUAUACAAAGCAUUGCAAGAGCUAAUCUAGCAAUAAGAGUUUAAAGGACAAAGUUGCUAACCUUUGUGAUCAUUUGAAUGGAUGGGGGUCUUCAAAUCUUGACAAAUUUUGGACAAAAUUUGUGAGGAGCUCGAGGAGAGAGGGGGAAGAACAGAGGAAGUGAGGGGAAAGGGGAAGAACAGAGUGGCUCGGGGGGACGAAGGGUUUAUGUACGUCGACCUUUAGUACCGGUUCAUGCCACGAACCGGUACUAAAGGUGCUGGACGGGCCCCAGACUGACAACACCCUGCCACCACCCUCUUUAGUACCGGUUCGUGGCACGAACCGGUGCUAAAGAUUCGCCACGAACCGGUACUAAUGAGGACGGCCGGCUAGCCGUUGGAACCGGCACUAUUGAACACAUUAGUGCCGCUCAAAAUCAAACCGGCACUAAUAUGUCUCAUAUUAGGUCAUUUUUCUACUAGUGCCAGGGGCCCACAGGGGGAAAGAUGAACUACAAGGGAGGUGGGCCGGUGGUGGUGAGUGACCGGGGCCACUGAUGUCGAGUGCCAAAGUUGCGCGAGUGAGGGGAGCCGCGGUUGUGUGGGCUGCCUGAUUUAUUGUGAUGCCAUACGCCCGCGCGGAGGAGGGCGUAGGCGCCUCCGCAGGGUACUACUACCACCCAGAUCCCUAGCUGGGAUCGAUGCCACACGGUGUUGGGACCGACAACUAUAGAUGCUACAACCGAUGAGGAGGAUGUUGCAAAUGCUGGACGAGGUGUUGCGACGACAUGGUGGAGGUGUUGAAACCUCCAUACGAUGGUGUUCAGAUUGCUGGGGCGAUGCUACGACGACAUGGCAGAGGUGUUGCAGCCGCCUGGAACGCGGUGCUGCACCCGUUGUCGUGGAAGUUGCAUCCAUUGUAGACAGUGCUGCAACAUGGGUAUGCAAAUUUCAAUCAUUCACAGCAGGGACGUUGUUUUGUGAUGACUAUGGCGGGAGCUGCGACUGGCGCGUGAUGAAGUUGCAACCGCAAACCAACGGGGUUGAUGACCGCCAACGACGCUAGGACGGAUGCUACAACUGUAGCCCUACGGAGCUGCAUCCGUGGCCAGGAGGAGCUGUGAAAUCGGCGAUGUGCUAGGAUGGGUGGCACCGGAGGUGUGACGAGGGAGCCGUGCGCACCGCACCUCCGGCUUGCAUUUGCUGUAAGGUCUAGUGGCGGGCAAGUAGAGCGGCGACUCGACGAGCUCGGUGGCGGGUGUUUUUCGACCUCACCAGCAACGAUGGUGAUGCAAGCGCGGCGUCGCAGUAGCCCCAUGUCGGCCGCAUACGACGAGCUGUACCACAUGAGCGACCCAACAGGAUGGAGUCAUGGAGGAUGCGUGUGGGGAGUUUCUCUGAUUUUUUCCAAACGAAAUGGUGAGAAAAAGGAUGACGUGGAGCAUUUAGAUCUAAUGGAUGUGAAUGUGUCGAUCUGAUGGUGCACGUGUGACCAGCGCUUUCUUGGCGCGGUCGGCCCGCGCCUAGCAGUGUUCAGUAAGCAAUUACUUCCUCUAUUUCAUAUUCCUUAAAAAAACUUCCUCUAUUUCAUAAUAUAAGUUGUAUUAGUUUUUUUGAAAGUCAAACUCAUGCAUGUUUGACUAGGUUUUUUAGAAUAUAUAUAUAGACUAUAAGUACAUGCAUGUGUAUACAAGUAAAAUCUCGGUAUGUGCAUACACAAAUGUACUGCACUUCAAAUAUCCAUCCGUGAGAACAAAGUAAAAUAUACCUUAUCUAGUGUAGUGUACCAGAUGCCUUAUUGCAUGUUCAAAAAAAAAAACUCAUGCAAUGGUUGCAUGCAACGAGAAGUAAGCAAUCAUCUGGUCGUUCCUAACUUCUACUCCCUCCGUUCCGAAUUACUUGUCUUGAAUUUGUCUAGAUACGGAUGUAUGUAGACUCAUUUUAGUGCUAGAUACAUCCGUAUCUAGACAAAUCUAAGAUAAGUAAUUCGGAACGGAGGGAGUAGCAAUCAGGUAUGCAUGUGGUUUGCAUGGCUGGUUACGGUUAGUGCUAAUUGCAUGUACUUAUAGUAUAUGACAUCUUUCACAUUUUUUUUUUUGAAACAACGGCAUCUUUCACAUUGUUUUUGUGAGAGUAUAUACUUCUUAACUUGUUUGAACGAGUAUAUACCACACUAUACUGACAGGAUAUAUACAUUUUUUGUCGAGAGUAUAUACUACGUUUAUGGAGAGUAUAUACAGGGUGUAUAAGAUACUUGCUUGCGCGCGAGUAUAUACCACUUUUAAUUUUUUUUAGAAGGUUUACACUUCUUUUUUCGAUGGAGUAUAUACUUUUCAAUGGAGUAUAUCCCCACUUCUUUAUGAAGUACGUACUUGUUGAGAACCACUGGAGUAUAUACCACCUUUUUUAUGGAGUAUACACACCUUUUUGUGUUGGAGCUACUACAAACGAUGUAUAAUUUAUUCAAAGAGAAGAAUAAAAAGGGUAUGAUGCGUUAAGAAAAUAAGUAUAUAAUAAAAUAAAGCACAAUUCAUUUUAAACUAGAUUACAAGACAAAUAAGAAUAAUAAUUAAUUAAAAAGAGUACACCAUCAGAGUAUAAGUAGUUUCAGGUUUUUUGUGCGUGUUUAUUGCAUGAUGGGUAAAUAACUUCGCGUUAAUCUAGUAGUCAUCGUAUUUGUCGUCGGAGUAGAUUGCAUCAUGAAGAUAUUUGCAUGGAGCAGACGCGCCGCCGGCCGGGAACCCAUCUCGCGUGCAAUCGAUCCAAAUGAGCUGUAGAUCAAACAUGCAUGAUAUCAAAUUAAUAGUCACAGUAGUACUACGGAAGGAAUAAGGAGUGCAGGUAAUAUCAUGAAGCAUGCAUUAAUGCCGAUUGGAAGAAGUACAUGGGAGUCGCUUUGUCUUUGGCCAUGUGAUGGAUGUCAAUGGUACUGGUACAACAAGCUGUCCUGCAUCUUAUUGUCUCCGCCGCCGCCGCCGCCAUCGUCGCUGCAGUGGACGCCGCCACCGCUAUCGUCACCGUCGCGGCCGCCGCCACCGUCGUCUUCUAUUUUGUUUAUGCGGGGAUGCCGUGAUAGGUUUCCUAAUGCCCGUACAGCUCGGUUUCUAUUCCGGCUAGAUAUACCGAGUCACCCAAAUCCCUAUUAUCACGGGACAUGCUAACAAUUUUUGAACCGAAGUUUGCAUGGGAGAUUAUCCUGUUGUUUCUUUUAAUUAAAAACUAAAGGAAUUUAAAUGGUAUGACGGGGCAUUAAAGCAACCGACGACACAUGGCAUAGGAGUACAUACUCCUAGGAGUACUAACCCAUUUUCCUAUNNNNNNNNNNNNNNNNNNNNNNNNNNNNNNNNNNNNNNNNNNNNNNNNNNNNNNNNNNNNNNNNNNNNNNNNNNNNNNNNNNNNNNNNNNNNNNNNNNNNNNNNNNNNNNNNNNNNNNNNNNNNNNNNNNNNNNNNNNNNNNNNNNNNNNNNNNNNNNNNNNNNNNNNNNNNNNNNNNNNNNNNNNNNNNNNNNNNNNNNNNNNNNNNNNNNNNNNNNNNNNNNNNNNNNNNNNGGAAGAAGUAGUAGCCAAUGCCGAAACUACUUGCUUGCUUUUACUUUCCGACGCCAAUGCCAACAAGUGCUUUCCUGACUCGAGAACGAGUACAUACGCUUUCUCCGAUGCUUGCUCUUGUUACGAGCUUCUACCCGACCGAUUAGCCCAGAGCACUAAUACGCUUUCUUUCCUCGAACAAGUACCUUUCCUUCGAACGAGAAUGCCAAUUGCUUCCUUCCAACAAUCCAAUACGAAUACGAAUGUACGAAUGACAGGCCAUUCCCCGGAGUAGAGUAGAAAUGAAUUCAUUCACAUCUGCUAGAAACCAGAGCCUAAGCUAUGAACCGAUCUAAGAGCGGACAAGCAAGCCUAUUCCUAUUGUUUUGGGUGGCAGAUUUCAUAUGUUAUUUCUCAUUGCGAAUACAGAUUCUUCUUGUACCGUAGUAGCUCGACUGCUUUCCUGACUUGACUCGAUAACUGCUUUCGCUUCCCCAAUCCCAGAGCAUCCAAGAGAUUCGUUUCCACACGUCGGAUCCGCAGUUCGAUUCGUGCCGGUGCCGGCAAGAGAUCCUGUUCCUGUUGGGCAAGGGAUUUUCUAGCUAGAAAAGCGGCGGAUUCGAUUCUUUCUUUGAUAGCAGAACGGGAUAUUCCACUCUUUUAGAUGCGCACCGCACUUCAUCAGUAGAAAAGCCCGGCGCCUGAAACCCAAGCUCAAAACCACCCUUCCUUUAGUUGGACCGGCAUACAUAUCUUAUCUCGUAAGAAAUCGGGGAAUAUUGAUUUCGAGUAAGCAUCGUAUCCUGAUCCUGCUAUUGAUGUAGAUUUAGCCACACCUGAGCCCGCAACUGCUGUCUCUGUAAUCGAGGAAUAUCCCGUCCCGGAUUUGCCCUCAAGUAUUAUGGGAUAUCUAUUAUUAUUGGCAACUUGUUUAGUUCCCGCAGAAAGAGAUGCGCCAUAGUAUCCCUCGGGCAUGGGCCAACCACCAAGGCCAGGAAGUAGAACAACUUGAUACUUUCCACCAUCCACAACCCUUGAUUUCUCAUAUUUGUGCAACGGCUGUUCUGGCACUAUUCUCCGAUUUCCACCCAUUGUUCACAUUCUAUAUACCUUGCCCCCUCCUCCCAACUUCAUCACACCCGCCUUUUUCACAUUGUUUUGAAACAAAGGAAACAUGCAACUGCCCGUACUUUCCCACUUGUAUAGCCCACCACUUAAUUAAUGCGCGACCUGAUGCGGGUCAUAUUGGAUGAUCAGCGAACCUAAUUAGAUUCACCUGUAGCCAAUGACCAAUACAUAAUCUCGGAAUCCUCACCCAGCUCGGUUGAUUAGAUCUCCCUUUAAUUCAUAUAUGCUACUUCCGGUCCGGGCAUAAGUGGAAACCCAUUGAUCUGGGGAUCAGGACUCGAACUUAGAAGCUCUUCCUCUUUUAGCAACCGGAUUGCUCCUCGCAAUAAAUAUGGCUCAGGUGUUGGAUCAAUAGCUCCUGUUUAGGAAGGAUGUCAUGGGCCCCCAAGCAUCCCCUUAAAUAUGGUGAAUGAAGAGAAUUGGACCAGUCCUUGAAUAGGAAUGAUGGGUAUCCUUGUCAUAGGGCUAUGUUUCUGUCAGAGUCUAGUGGCACCCUUUAAAGUAGUCUGGCUGGAUUGCUGCUGAAUAGCUUGAUGGGUCAGGGCAGAUUGAUAGGGAAAGAACCCUCGCCAUCUGGAAUCACUAUCUUCCGUGGAUGUUCUCGUUCUCCUUCUCUCAUUUCUGUGAUCGUAUAAGCUAGAUAGGCUUCUGUAGUUUCCGGGUUGCUGGGUUCCAUUUUUCUUUGCUUGCUGCAUAUCUCACUCAAUCCCUUGCUUUCGAGAAUAGCAUUUCCCUAGCGCUAGUUGUGGGUCAGAGUUGACAGAUCAGAAGUAGAAUACUUGACUUCUCUAAGAUGCCAGGAGGGAACAGAACAGUCAUGCAGAAGAGAGAAGCAGGUGAGGAUGGGACCCGGAAAUGCAUUCGAAUUUCUCGAGUGAAGUAGUUGAAAAUGUACCACCCUUUACGGGAUCUUCUCUGGUGCGCCAACCCUAGAAUGUCAUAUUAUGAUGGCGCUGGAACUGGAUCACUCCACUCCAGAGGCAGGUAAGCUUGCUCCUUGCACUGGCACUGGCUUGCUUCACCCAGAUAGGGCUUCUGUUGGUCUCUCUUUUUAACUAUCACUUAAAUCCACCUCCUCUUUAGAAAAAUGAGAGCUGCUCUUUGGUAGUUUCGGUAGUCCCAAGUAAGCUAUCGACUCUGGUGUCCAAUCAGUUCUGAAGUCUGACUUGUCAUUGGAAAAGGUAGCAAAGAAUAUCGUAUUAAGAUGUCGGUAGUACAAAGCAAGCUACUUCGUCUGUUCACUCAAUUGGCUCCCUAAUCUUGCCUUUCAAAGAAAGGAUAAUGCGUAGGAGUGAAGCAGUUGACUACUGUGUCUUGAGGAGUUCUGUACCGUACCCUUUGUGUCCGAUCGAGUUCUGCGGUCUACGGCUGUAUCCGACCAAUUAUCCAAGGCGCGGUCCACCUCUUUCUAUGCUUCAAUUUAGUGACGCAAGUAAUGGUGGUGUUUGUUGUACUAUAGGUAUUGGGUUCGUUCUCUCGUUGUCAGUAUGUAUUGAACUACCGCAAUACAGGACUAGUGGGCCCCUCGUCUAUCUAUUAGCCGUCUAUCUAUUAGACCUAUCUAGAAGUAGAAGUUCGUUGCAUUCCCGGAGAUGUAGAAUCGAGUGUUUAGCUUACCGGGCAUUGUGCUAAGUUUGCAUCCGAAUCGAAAUCUGGCGCGACUACUCAAACACGAAAGCUAGGGAAGGGAAUAGAAGGGCGGGUAGAUCAAUGUGAUGAUAGCACCACGCCAGGCACCGAAGACGAAAGCGAAACAUCGUCGGUAACACUAUACGUUGUAGUCUCGCAUUAUCCAUUGGAUCCGCAGCUAACCAUAUAUAAUGCUCAAUGCUAUGCAAAAGCAAUAAAGGGGAGAUUGUCUUCUAACUAACUAUAUAAGUAAUUGAUAUAACUAGAUGAUUCUCGUUCAAAAGAUUCUUCCCAUUAUCAUUAUAUAGAGAGGCGGAGGCGCGUAGCAAUAAAAAAGCUUGCUUGUUGGGCUGAUGAGGCUCGAGAAAGACUGUGAAGUGAAGAUGCGCCAUUACCGAAACCAUUUCUUUGCUUUGGGCGAAGUUCCUUUAUAGGGAGCUCACUUCCUUGCUUGGUUGGUUGGUUGAACUUGCUUUUUAGGUGCGGUGCGUGCGGGUCUAGUUUCAUUUAUGAGUGCUGCGUAUAUUUCCGUUAGUAAUGGUUUUGAGCUUGGGAAGAAGGGAUAUGGGUAUGGCAUCAUCCCAGAUUUGAUCUAAGGCUAGUUCCGUGUGUGCAACUACUAUCUUAUCUCAAUAUCAGGCUAAGGCUUGGCUAAGUGCUCUAGAGGUUUUCCUUAUUGUCCUGGUUCUUACCUCAACAGGGCAGGGGAGAUAGUUGGAAGUUGAAUAGUCGUAUCGUAUCAGUUCAGAGAAUCCCUGUUGAAUGGCUUGGCUUUCAGUGCGAGUCUAGUUGACUGAUUCCUAGGCUAGCUUCUCCUUAUGUGCGGGUCUAGUCUACAGAACAGAUGAAGACCCAGAACCGAGGAGAACAGAACGAAUACCGAUCUCAGAGCGGACAAUCAAUCCCAGUUCCUAGUUUCCUUCAAGCAAUAGCCUGCCUGUUCCCGUUCUUCGUGUAGCAAACCUCCUAUAGUGGAUACGACUGAGAACGAGCUUGACUCCACUCACUGCAAAGGAACAACUGAUUCUCCAAUUCCGUGGUUUGUUUUCCUUUCAUUCUACUUACCUUCUUUUCGCUGGAGGCAUAUUUGAUACGUUAUUUAACAUUCUGAAGAAUAUAGCAAAAUUGUAUCAUUAGAUCUAUUAUGAAAAUGCAUUUUCAUAUUUAUUUGUUUUGUAUUGUGAAUGUCGAUGUUUUAUUCUAUAAUCUUGUUUAAACAUAUUGUGGAGUAUAUAUGUUUGACUUUCAUAAAAGUUGAUGCACCUUAUGUAUUCUAAAAAGAAGAGAGUACGAAGUAAUUACAUCAUCUCGCCAACUGUCACCCAUUGUCCAACCAGAAUGAGGAGAGCAGCGCUAUUCACAAGGAAAUUAAUCCCACGAAGCAUAGUGAGUUUACAAACGGAAAUCAACCAAUUCUAGAGCUAAGCCUAAAAUGAAAUGGAAAAAAGAAAGUAAUUUUCUUUAAAUUUAUUGAUUAGAAAGGGGUAUUACAAGAUCAUCAUCAAAGGAGGGAUGCAUAGUAUAAGACAUGUGCUAAAAAAAAGAAGGGAAAAACAAUCGUUUAGCAAACCAGGGAAAAGCCUAAACAACGACAAGCCAUCUAGCUAAACUAGGUCUAAAGCAUCACAUGACAUACAAGAUGCCAGUAAAGCCGACAGUGCAGGACACACAUAGCCUCGAGCGUCACUCGUUAACAGAGCGCACGCGAAAACUAUCGCAUCAAUACGGUCUGCCAUGAGCAUAUUCGUCAACCUCGUCGACACAAAAGAGGGACGGCAUACCCUUUCGGAGGAAGACACAUGUUGCUCUGAUUCCACGAGGAACGACCAAUAUGGUUGAUCUGAUGCUCCUCACAUGUGAAGAGUGCUCAUGCUGCACAACCUUGAUGUCUGACGCACAACCUUGAUGCCAUGAGUCCCUCUGACCAUCUAACUCCAAGACAAUGCCCUCAAGGGGGAGCGCAACACCAAGCAUAACCAUUAAUGGCGCCAUCAUACGAUCUAGGAGACAAGAUCUAGGGUUUCCCCGGAGCAUGAUGGAAGAAAGGCAAGGACUGCACAUCGAGCUUGUAACAAGAGGGCGAUGCAUAUAGGCGCCGCCGUCCAUGACUCCAGCCACAACCGAAGGACAAUUUUCACCGGUAUCCUUAAUCGCCCAAAUCCAAGUCCGGCCACACCAACAUCCGAACUUCCUGCCGCCAGCACCGCGCCAUCUUCAGGUUUGCAUGAGCCCAGGUAGCAGCGCCAACGGAUUCUUCACGCUGACCAGCCCGCACUAUUCGCAAAAAAAAAACGCCCCGCAUACCAAGCCACCAGCCCCCUUCCCCGGCCACAGGCCUGCAGGCUGCAGGAGCCUAGAACGAAGCCGGUCGCAAUAGAGCUCGCUGGCGUGAGGAGGAGCUGAUUGCGUUGUGCGUUUCCCUUGAAAGCAGAGUGUGUACUUUGCCCCCAGUAACGCGCAUAGCGUGUCACGGUCUCUUGCGCACUACUACCUCCGUCCUGGUUUAUUGAUUCUCAUUGUAUUCCAUGCUUUUUAAUAAAUAACAAAAUGUUUAUGUAUAUCACCAAAACUUAUCUAUCAAUGAAAACUAUGUAUAAUCCAACGAUAUAAUUUUUGUUACUAGAAAGCUAACUUUCAGUCGACUGGAAGUUAGCGACAGAUCCAAACGCCUCGCCUAUCGUCAGAUCUACAUCGUGCGGAUACCCUCGCCCUUGCUAGUUUUUCGCAUAUCCCGAUUUUUCGGCCGGUCUUUUCUCUGGACCCAGUAAAUUCCGAUGUCACGCCCGGUUUUCCUGGCGACUUUCCGCGUCACUGUCAUCCUGGUGAAAAAAGAAACGACGCAUGCGCUAGCUGGGAUUCGAGCACAGGACGAGGUUAAGGCGAGGCGCUAAACUACACCAGGUGUCCACCUUAGACAGGACUCAUUGUUGUGCUAACGGUAGAAAAUAGUUAUUUUUGACCUUACAUAAAGAUUGACACUAGACUCAAGCUAGACCGGAUCAAACUAGGCAAAGCACGUACCAGCUAGUGCAUGUGUUUUAUCAAGUGAAUAAAGACUUGGUAUUGGACUACCAUAUCUACUAUAGUUAGUGUUUGAAAAGUUAAUGGGUGAACGCCCUAAUUUUUGUAACAAAUAUGAGAAAAAAAAGUUGCUUAAAAUAUAUGCUCGGUAACUCUUGUGUAAAUGAUGUGAUAAUGUACGCAUCACAGUCCUGAUAACUUGUGCACCAAACACCGUUACAAUUAUUUUUGGGGGAAAAUUUGUUGAAAAGAUACCCCGGUAACUUCUGUAUAUAUAUCAUGGUAAUGUACGCACGUCAAAGCUGAUAACUCACGUACAAAUGACGCGGUAACUUUUGACCUGUGUGAAAAGUUGUUGCAAAACACCCUCCGGUAAUUUUUGUGUAAAUAUUAUGGUAAUAUGCUCACACCAUAGCUGACAACUCACGUACAAACAUCAUGCUAACUUUUUUGGCCCAUGAAAAUUGUUGUUAAAAAACACCCCCGAUAACUUGUGUGUAAAUACCUUGUUUCAGCGUGUACUUGAUUCUGAAAAACAGUGUUCAAUCAAUUCUGAAAACAUGCUUCAGCAUGUACUUGAUUUUGGAGGAUUUAAGUAGAUUAGGAAUGUCCAACGCCCGUCCUCUCCCGCAUCAAAUUUUUGAAGAGUGGCAAGAUGCACCAUCUCACAACAUAGUUACUAUGCGCUAUAGUUACCAACAUGGGUAUUUUGUUGUUAUUAGGCUAGAUAUACUAUAGUUAUCAACAUGGUUAUUUUGUAGUUAUUGGGCAAUAUCUACUAUAGCUAUCGGGCAAUAUCUACUAUAGUUAUCAACAUGGUUACUAUGCAGUUAUCGGGCAAGAUGUACUAUAGUUAUCAACAUCGUUAAUUUUUGUAGGUAUCAGGCUACAUGUGGUAUAAUACACCCCCGGUAGCUCAUGCGUAUAUAGCAUGAUAAUUUAACAAACAUGAUAACUCAUGCACAAACGUCGUGAUAACUUAGACCCGGGAGAAAAGGUUGAAGAUAUCCCCCGAUAGCUUCUGCAUAACUAGCAUGAUAAUUUACACACCACAAAUCUGAUAACUCCUGCACAAAUACCGUGAUAACUUUGACUCGGGAGAGGAGGUGUUUUAAAACAUCACCUAUAACUACCGUCAAAUAGCAUGAUAAUGUAUGCACCGUAUACGUGAUAACUUACGCAUAAAUACCACAGUAACAACCGUCCGGAGGGUGGUGGGACGGGAUGAAGUUGUUUGAAAACAUACCCCACCCCCUCCUGAUAACUUCCGAAGGUCUCGUCGCAUGUUCUGAUAACUUUAGCCCGGGGCCUGAUAACUAUUUGCACGAAAAAAGUCAUCAAAACAUAUCAAAAUGAGACCUAGUUUUCGAAGGUCUCGUCGCAAAAAAUAUUUAUGUGAAAUCGACUUUCGAUUGGACCGACGAUUUAAGCUAUAAAACAUUUUGGAGUUUCGAACAAGAAGAACUAGGAUGACAUGAAAAAAUUCUUCCAUUGCAUGCACACAUGUGCAUGUGAAGAGAAUGUUCGAGAAACUUUUUUCAUGCCCUGGUUAUUUUUGUGUAAACAACAUGAUAACUUAUGCACCACGGACAUGAUAACCUAUGUAGGUCGCAUGUGGUAACUUUUUACCAGAAACAAAAAGUCGUCGAAACAUAUCAACAUGGGAUCUAGUUUCGAAGAUCUCGUUGCGACGAAUCUUUUAUGUGAAAACAAUUUUUCAAUUGGAGCGACGAUUUGUGCUACAAAACAUUUUGAAUUUUUGAAUUCGAUAGAAUCUUUGCUGACACCAAUAUUUUUGUCCUAUAUGCAUGCAUGCAACAAUUAGGGAAAAGAAUCUUGAAUGUGUUCUGUGCUUGCUUUAAUUUUUUUAGAAAACCCACGCAUGGCUCGCUCCACUUCGUGUGAAAGGAGGAUUGAGGGAUUCGUUCGGAUCUGUUGCUAUAGUCCAGUCGACCGGAUUAUAGCACAGUCCUUUUUGUUAACAUGUAGUAUUAUCAUUUUGUUAGUUAAUCGGAAAUGUUGCCACGUGUGGGCGUUCAACACCCCGACCACACACAAACAUCUCCGUUGGCUUUGGUACGCAUGAAUCUUGUAGCAAACAGGCCGGUUUUCGGUGCCACAUAGGACGAGUCUCGUGUGCGGUGUGCGAGUCAGUUCGCCCGCACGAUGGUUGCCAUCCCGUGGUCAGCGGUUGCCACUCAGAGGCGUGCGGUGGAACUGCCAUGCGCCCGCACGCCACGCUCCGACCGCGGUUGACGUCAAACACGUCGCACACCCCUCCACCCUCUUCCUCACGGUUCCAUUUUACUCACCCGCGACGCAUUUACUGGCACAACCCACUCGCACUUGAAACCACUGGAGGAGAAGGCGAGAGGAGAAGGCGACGACGGAGACGGAACAAUCGACGGUGUUCGCGGCCGUCGGUGGUGCUCGCCGGAGCGGAGCGGCUUCGCCGGAACCCGUGCGGGUUGAAGCUAAUGCUCGCUUCAUCUCUCGCAACCACUUCCUGUAUUUUUCCCCUUUCCCUCCCUGUUCGAUUCCUAGAUCGAUUCAUAGAGAUUCUGGCGAUUCGGUGGUGUGUCAGCGUUCCCGCCGGCGUCGAAGUUGUCUGCUAGCCGUUUUUUGUGGCACUGGGCAGUUUCGUCGCUGUCGCGGCUGCGGCAUCAUCGGUGCGGUUAUGCCUGUUCCGAGGCACGCACUAGUCUUGCGCAUGGAUUUGGGAGGUGCCCUCCGGUUUGUUUUGAUGCGCAUUGGUUCAAAUUUGUGUUUGCAGUCAGUUCGUGCGAGAAUUUUGAGGGUGAUUUUGAAGUUGAAGUAGUUGCCAUUGAAACCUAGAUCUAGUUAGUUUGGUUUUGAAACUGUAGAACAAGGCGAACUUGGCAGAAUGGCUGAACUUGGCAGAACGAGGCGAAUUUUGUGUGGCAACUAAACUCCCUGAACAAAUAUGAUAGUUGCCACAAACGUGUUUUCCUUUGCGGCAACAAAUUACCGAAAAUGUAUGUCAUAGUUGCCACAUUCAAGCUUUCACAUAGGGCAACUAAUUUUAUUGAAUGACUAUGAUAGUUGCCACACACAUGCUCUUCCAUGUGUCGAACUGAAUUUUGGUGAAAUUAUAUGAUAGUAACCACAAACAUGAUUUUUCAUUGUGAGAUCUAAUUUUUUCUGAAUUAUUCGUCAUAGUUUUCACACUUUGAUAGUUGCCACAAUCGGUAGUUAAUGCAGUUUCGGCAUCCAGCUGCACUGGACGGCAACUAAUGUGCACAUCGAGUGUGCGUGUUUGCCACUUGGAUUGUAUAAUCAUGUGGCAAAUAGAAUGUGAACACAAUGUCUAUUGCCACAAUGCAGAUAUGACAGUGUGCCAAAUUGGCUGCAUAAUAUGGCAACCACAUUUGCGUAACAAUUAUGCCAGAUGCCAUAUCAUGUCUGUUGCCAGAUCAUGUCUGUUGUCAUGUUACAGUCAGUACAAAUAUGGCAUUUUCAAUGUACUACGGACGCAAUUUUUUCGUUUUGCCACACUAGCUUUUGUGAUAUCUGAACACACUGUGCUUGUUUUUUCAGGUUAUCGAUUCAGAUGUGGUUUCAUUGCUUUUUUUUGUACUAUAUUGGGCUAACAUGGCAACUUCAAUAUUUUUGUUUUCAAGUGCAUUAACCAACGUGGUUACUUGCCACGUUUAUGUUCUCGACAAUCAUAUGGGGGGGAGGGGGGCCGCGUGCGUGUUCAUGCUAUAUUUUUGCAUUCACUAGUUGACAUUUUCUGUUAGGUGGCAAAUGCUUACCUCUUGCAUUUACAUUUUCCCCUUAACAAUUUGGUCUGUUCCUACAUCAGCAGAAUGGCUCGUGGCGAUCAUCAAAAUGAUGAUGAUGAUUUCAUGGAUCCACCACAGCGUAACCGGGCAACUGGACGGAGAAAAGAGGGCGACGAGGUAACUGUCCACACACCCGCCCCAUCUCCUCCCGAUUUUUGUUAUUGGUUGGCACCUAUAUCUUUUGUAGUCGUCUGUCAUGAACUAAAUUCUCAUGACAUUGCAAAACAUGGCAACAGCUGAUCACUUUUGUGUCUGUUUUUUGCAGAAGAAGAAAUGUAUUCGCAACAGAGCCUCCCAAGAACGACUGACUGUGUUGACUGACAAAUUCAGCGAUGAUCGGAAGGGGGCUGCUGCUGAGAUGGGCAUGCAGUCUAUGAUGGUUGUCUGGUGCACGAACCUUGUCAACCCUGUAUGCGACUGGCUUGCUGAGAUAUACGAGCCCACCUCCAGGGAGUUCGUGAUUCCGGGACGUGGAAGACUCCCGUUGAACGAGGAUUCUGUGUUCUUCACUCUGGGCAUGCCUCGUGGACAUAUCAAAGUCUCGUACGAGGUCAACAAUUAGAUCGAGCAAGAUCUGUUCCCCCGUUUGUUUCCUGGGUCGGAAUCCAUGCCGAACACGUCUGCAGUGGCAGAUUCGCUGCAGGCCAUGACGACGCAUGGAGAUGUUUUCAAGAUGAAGCUACUCAUGUACCUCAUCUCAGCUGUUUUCGCGCCGACCACUUCCCUUCGCCCAAGCAAAAAAUGUUUCCCCAUCCUGGUGAAUGAUCCAUCCUUUCUACUUUAUUUUCCUUCAAUCUUAUGGCUCCGAUGUCAUGUGUUAAGCUAAUGACUGCCAGUGUUUUCGUUGUUAUUUUCCAUUUGAUUUCUGAUGCGGUAAACUUUUUGCCCUGAAAUUUUGUGUGGUGCAGGCGAAUCUGAAAAAUGUGAAGAACAUGAACUGGUGUAAGUUUGUUGCCGACUUUCUCCAUGAUGCUUUCAAAAACAAGAUGUACCAGAAGGGUUGUCGACUGCAUUUAAUGGUAUUUAUUUUACCAGAUCUCUGUGUGAACUCUUGUUUUUAUAACACAGUUUUAUUCAUGCAUGGCAAACCGAUCAUAACAAGAUGGCAACUACCAUAAUGACAAUGUGGCAACUGCCAUAAUGACAAUAUGGCAACUGUCAUACUGACAAUAUGGUAACUGCCAUCAUAUUAGCAUGGCAACUGUUAUCACAGUAUGAUGGCAACUGCGAGCACACUAUGAUGGCAACUAGCACAUACAUACUAUCAUUGGAUCAUACAUUAUCCUGCUCUUUUUCCCAACUAUAAAGUACCCAUGAUGGAAACUGACAUUUCUUUCUUUGUAAAUUUGUUUUAAAUCAGCUGAUGUAUGUCGACUGACUUGAUCUGUCCACCGUGGAUUUCUCUGGGGUAGGAGGCCCGCCGCCUACGCACAAGUUUGUUGUUUCUGCGUGGACCAUCAACGCUGUCAAGGUUGUGCUUGCCGCAGACAGGGCAACUGAUACCACAUAUGGAAAACUACAGGUUAGUUUUUGUUUAUCUCUUCCCACGACAUGCUUACAAAUUUGACAUGAGGCAACUGUCCGUGGUUUAUAAGGCAUGCUUACAAUUUCUUUUUGUUUUUUAUAGCUGGUGGCCAAGCAUGCUAUAGACUACAACAUGUUUGGGGGGCCUCAAAAUUUUGGAAAGUGGAUGGAUGUGCACUUAGCUCCGUCUUGCCCUUCUGAGGUAAUCAAAAUAUCGACAUCCAUUGUUUGCCGUGGAUUACUUGUUGAUGUCGCGCAAGCGACUGCAAUACGGAUUGUUGUUAAUACUUCUUGUUUUUGUGCACAGGCGAGGGCACUAGUUGAGCAUCUAAUUGGGCAGUUUGCAUCCGGAAUGACCGGCUUGCUCGGGAAGUUGGUUGAGGGGUGGACGUCCCUCAGUGCCUCUGACAGCGACGCGGUUGCGAGGCAGUUCACUUCAUUUGUCCCAGAACAUACACAUCGACCAACCGGUAGCCGUGGCCGGUAUGACUACAACAGUUCCCAAGAGCCCGGUGACACACAAGAUGAUGUAGAUGGAGACGCUGGCCUCAGCAAGGAUGACGAUGAUGACAUGGAUAAUGUGCAUCAGGACACGGAUGACGAUGAACAAGCUGAAGUUCGCACAGGCGCCAACAAGGGCAAGGAUGCAACAGAUGCCCCCCCACCGGAGAAAGUGAUAGAGCAUACGGCUGCGAGAGGCGAGGGGGUGUUGCCAUCAAGGAGGGGGAGGGCUCCAUAUGAUGUUGGGCAGGGUUCGCAUGGCAAGAGGUCUAGGACUGAUCCCGUAGCUGCCAGGAGGAGGUUCGACUUUCAAUUUUAGUUUUCUGUUGUGUCUAUUUUCUUGGAACAAUCUCAUCCAUUUCUCUGCACUUGUUUUUUGUCAAGCGCGGCAAUGGGUUUGUUGUCUGACAGUUGCCACCUUCUUUUCUCUCUCCAUCUGUUACGUGCAGGGAGCCGACCGCUGGUGGACGAGCAGUUACGAAGAAACAGGCGCCAACGCCAACCCGUGUUUCUGCUCGCUUGAACAAAGGUGCCCCCAUUGUCGGUGACACCCCUUCCAUCAGGUCUUCUCCUCGUACAACGACGACCAACACCGCGGAUCCUGUCGUGUUGCCAGACCUGAGGAAGCCAGUCAAGAAGUAUGUUUAUCCAUGUGCUUUCAUGUACAUAGUGGUAUUUUUCUUGAAUUUUCAAUGCUACUGUUUCAGCUUGUCACAUGUUCUUCUGUCAUCGUCCCCCACGCGACAACCGCUGUUUUUCCAAAUGAUUUCUUCCUUCAUUUUUUAGUUUACGGCAACUCCUAUUGGUCUUUACAUGGCAACUGGCUUCUAGGCCAACUGGCAACUAGCACUCUAGCUAAUGGCAGCUGCCAUCUUUACCUUUGGGUUUGUGAGCUCAUCCCACACACAGGUUUCAAAUUGCAUUCCUGACAGAACAUACACUUGUAUCAUUCUUCAAGUUUGCUAACAUGGCAACUGCUGCUGGAUGGCAACUGCUAACUAUGACACAUGGCAACUCAUGUUCCCAUUACAUGGCAACUACCAGCUUUUCCACUUGUUUUUUCAAUUCUUUUAAGAUUUCUACCAUGGCAAACAUAUUUUUUGUUCAUUUUUUCAUACCUUUCUCAUGUGAUUUUUUUCUUUUUCAGGGUGAAGAAGACCACUAUACGCGGGGCCAAGCAUAGCAGUAAGGACCCGUUCAAACGCCUACAUUCAAAGUUGUCAACGGGGGGCAACUCAGAUGUACAUGAGGCACCAGGCGACAAUACUGCUGCUGCACCAUUGACCGCUCCCACCAACUUUGAUGCAAGUGGCCGACUAUCUUCGCCGGCUGCGGAUGUCCAGGCUAGAACAACAGGCAUCCGUACAUCGGGGAGUGACGAGUCGGUAUCUGCCAGGACAGCUGAAAUAUUGCCAACUCUUCUUGCAAUGAAGGAUGCUGCUGUGAGCCAUGCCACCCCAUCAGCAAGCGUUGAAGUGGACGCUCCCGAGACGAACCUAGGCAGGGAAGAUUCCCGCUCUUCUGAUACUGAUUCCAAACGCGUGCGUGGUGGCACACCUGUGUCCACGACAGAAGCUGCUGAGGCGGCAGUUCAUAAGGAUAUGCCAUCUACAGGUGAGAGUCCUGGCACAACAGCUCCAGCCCCUGUCGGUGCAGAUACUGCUAAGGUGACCGUGGCGCGUGCUGGUCUUCCACCUAGGCGUCGCAGCCCCUGCAAGCAACCAACAGUCAUACCCAACGCACCGGCUGUAUCUAGGAGCAGGAGAGACGAGCCUGGGUAUGUUCCUGCGUCCACACUGUUCCCGCCACCCGCCAGAAGCAAUGUGAUGGAGAAACCGCAAGACCGGAGCACAAUUGAUGCAGGUGUGAAGCCGGGCACGAGUGACGCAGGUGAACAGUCGGGGCAGACUGCGCCUUUACCCGCAGUGGAAAUCCCCAGGAUAAAUCUGCGCACUUCCAGGCUCCCAGUCAAUGUCGGUGUCCCCUACAGCCCAAACAAGAAGAUUGCCAUGAAAGCUGCUGCUGAUACCGCCGACAACACGCCCCGCCCUACAAAUAAGCCCGAACAUUCUGUAGCGGCCGAUUCAGAUAUGUUUGUCGAUCUUUCACCAUUGGAUUCUGCCCCGCAAAUCGUUCGUGGUCCGGCCAGUAGGAAUGAGAGGCACCCAAUGGCAUUUACCCCACCGGGCUUCAGUCUUGGCAUCAGUCAAGAUCAACCGGUGGUGCACGAUCCUUUGCCAGUUGCCUUUGCUUUCCCAGGAGGCAUGCCCGCAAUGAUGGCGCAGCCAAUGGUCGAGGGCAGGAAGGCUGUCAAGUUUGCGGAGCCAAUUGUGCAAGGUACACUUGUCAUGUCCUUAUGAUUUUCCUGGAUACAUCUUUGUGGUUUGAAUUUUGUCCCAAUCAUAUUCUUUUGGGUGUUCUCACUUGUGAUGGCAACUGCCGUGUGAUGGCAUGGCAAGUGGAUUUGAUGCACCAUGGCCUACAUUUUUUUUGGUUGCCAUGCUGCAUUUUUGACAUUCGGGUAAACACGUGGCAACUGAAGUUGAUUCAUCAUGGCAACUGUAUUUGCUGGUACAUGGCAAAUAUAGUGCAUUCCACAUGGCAACUGGAUUUGCCACACCAUGUCAUCUGCAUUUUUUUGUUACCAUUCUGCAUUUUUUUUGUACGGCAAUCACAUGGCAAGUGGGGUUGACACAGCAUGGCAACUACAUUUCAUGUGACAUGGCAACCACAAUCCAUCUAGAUGGUAAUUCAGCACAACUGCAUGGCAACUAUAGUUGCCAUGACGUGGCCACUGUAGUUGCACCACACAUGUCAAUUUCCCCACUAUUUUUCUACCUACAUGUCACAUCAUACACCUUAUUUUCUCACAACCCAUCUGUUUUCUGACUUUCUCCUUGUCCUAACACACUUUUUAUUUUUUGAGCCAUUGCGGGCACCCCUGAGGAAAUUUCACCGUCACUUGACGAAGCUUACCGCAAGAUCGAGGAGGCAGCAUUGCAGAGGAGGACCUUGCGAGGGCAAGGGCAAUCAAGUUCCAACUUGCCUGCAGAGACGGCAUCUGAGGAUACCAUCAGAAGUGCCACCCCUGGUUCUGUGAGACAGCAGAGGGUAGUUCACCCACCUCCCGCGGAAGACUACGAGCCCGAAUUCAGGGCCACUAAGGAACAAACCCAGCUGUACGACAUCAUCAAGCGGUUUGGAAAUGCGAGAGCCAGCAGCAAGCACAUGAAGGAGUUAAAAGCGUAAAUGACCACACCCUAUAAUCUCUCAUUUUGCUUUGUUCCUUUCUUAACAUUCAUCUUCUUCGUACUCUUUGUACAUGAUGCGCUUACGUUCUAGUUCUUUCAUAUAUUUUUUUACUUAGCAGACAUGAUUCUUCCAUGUUAUGUCGUUUUCAUACAGCUCAUGUUUGGACAGAACCAAAGUCAUUCAAUGCAGAGCGACGUACGUCGACCUAGGUGAUCUCGCCGAGUCCGUGAGGCCAAACGGUAAAAUGUCGACAAAUGUAGUUGCAUGCGGGAUCGACUACAUCAACAAUUACAUCGAUGUGUGUGCCGACAAGAUCAUCAUGCAUUACAGUGUGACAUGCAAAAUAUGGGAUGGUGACUUCCACCACAAAAUCCUGAGGAAGAAUUUCGCUCAACACGGUGAAUUCAAGCUAACACUGAAGAAAUAUGUGAGUUCUCCUCCCCUGUCUGCACUGUUUUUUCAGAUGGUGUGGUUUUUGCCAUCUGCUGCACUUGUGAUUAUGUGGCAGAUGUUUUCAUGUGGCAACAGCUGCCGUGCACACUGUCAUCUUAAUUUUUGCAUCCCGUGCGAACUACGUGGCAAUUUGAUUGUAAAAUGCACGACACAUUUUGCUCACCCAUAACCAAACAUUCUACGUGAUUCUAUUUUUUUUGUCCCUCCGAUGUUCUUUUUGUGUAAUCUGCUUUCUCAUUCAUUCACUUUUCAAAUGCAGGUCAUGUUCCCCAUGUUCCAGGAGCUUGCACCACAUGACCAGCAAGACAAGUGUGGUCACCACUAUGCCAUCUGCCUUGACCUGAAGAACCAACGUUUUGAGGUGCUUGAUUCAAUCCGUUCGGAAGCUGAUUCAGACCUUACUACGCAUGCCGAAUUCUUCAUCAACAACCUCAAAGAGACAUGGAACCGUCACUAUGAACAUUCAAAGGUCCAGAUCAGGCAUUUCCCGAUUGAGUAUGUGGCCACUGUGAAGCAAGGGAACACGUAAUUUCUCAACCCCCUCCUUCAUGUGCCGUUUACAUCAAUCCAACCCCUAUUUUUGUUGUCACAUCUGAAUUAAAGUCUAUCUUUGAUACAUCUGUCCUUUUUUGCGUGUUCAUCUGAGUCUUUUUCUCGUGCAGUACGGACUGUGGCUUUCAUGCGCUGGAAUACUUUGCAAAGUGGGAAGGCAGAGUUGUCCCUGCUAUCUCAGCUGCAACGGUCAUUGAGCUCCGAAAAAUCCACACAUGGAGCUGGUUGACGAAUGAAGAUUUCAACAAGCGGUCCGGAGCACGCGAGUUCGUGGAGGAAGCUUUCAAGAAAAUCAACAAGAAGUACAAGUGAUCACGUGGUGUUACAGACCGGACGCAUACCUUACAUUCUGUUGCUGAGGAAUGUAAGGUACUUAUCUCUUUGUUAUCUUUGAAAACUAUGUCAGUGUGCUAUGUUACGACUGCAACCCCGCGCAGGCUACUUUGUAGUGGUGGUGUGUGAGCGACAAUUUAGUAGUUUCUCUAAUAUAUGUGUGGACGUGAACCUUUUUAGGCGUAAAUGCACAUAUGUUUUUAUGUUUUAUCAUUAUUACAACGGUUUCAUCGCUUACAGCUCCAGUUUGCUGUUUUGAUUGCGUCUAUGAUGUUCUAAAAAAGAUGGGAAAUGUAGUUCACCAUACACGGGUAGCGAAAGUCAUCAUCGGUUUUCAUUUUGUCGGUUUUGCUUCUUCUUUUUCAUCACUAAGUGCACCGGCUAGCAUGGGGUAGGGUUGAUCAUGCAUUCACAACCUUGGCUAUGGUUUAUGCACGUUAUGCCUUUUUCCAACUUGUUUCCCAUACAUCGCCCACAACACACUAUGUUUCUCUAAACCGUGUGGUAUUUGUCAUGGAAAUAUAUAUCACGCAGAGUCAUUUCAAAUACCAUGGUAUAUUUUCAGCAGAGCUAACAUGGCAGAUACAGUUCAAAUAACAUGGCAGAUCAAGCAUAAUUAACAUGGUAGAUACAGUACAACUAACAUGGCAGAUCUAGUACAACUAAAAUGACAGAUCCAGUACAUCUAGCAUGGCAUAUUUAGUACAAAGUAGCAUGGCACAUAUUUUAGUAUAAAAUAGCAUGGCAUGGCAGAUUUAGUACACAUAACAUGGCAGAUUUAAUACACAUAACAUGGCAGAUUAAGUACCCAUAACAUGGCAACUGCAUUUCUCCACUCAAUGAAUUUUCCUUCCACUUCUGAUGCUCCUCAAGAGUUAUUCUCACAAUUUUUUUUUUUAAAAACUCAUCGUCUAGGGUACAAAAGAAAAUGUCCACAAGGACCAUUUCACAUUGCCCCAAUUUCUGCUCAUGGAUUGCCCGCCCCUUUCUUCGUUUUCUUGUGUUUUGCUUAAAUCUCCAAUCCUGACUUGUACCUUAUCUCUCUGGGGCGACCCUUUGUGAUGGAACGGGGUGGGUUCCUGACCUGGGUUUGUGUGCUUGCUGUUCCAGAUCCUAUCUCCGAGUUUUCAGACGAUGGCCCCAUCGAUGAAGGCACACUUGAUGUGCGGGGGAACCGGUGUAAGGCUUCCUCAGCUUUCCUCUUCUUGAUCUCCUCAAGCUCUCUUUUCAGUGUCUUCCUGUGUUUUUCUGCGACUCUCGCUGUCUUAUCACUCUUGCACGCUUCAUCAAUUAGCUCAGCAUAGUUCUUUGUGAGCACAACGUGCCUCACGGCUUCCAUGGUUGACUCAGGUCUCUCGUCAUGCACAGCCAGAACCGCGUGUGUUGUUUGUGGCGCCAACGCGUCGUCAGCGUCCCAAGUCCAUCGCCGCCUUAUGAAAUGGCGGGGCAUCCGUGUCACAGCGUUCAUGUCCAUUACCUUUAGUAUGUGACAACACACAAUGUCGUCCCGUUCGAACUUGCAGCAUUGGCAGUAGUAUUCGCCUUGCUCGAUCGAGGUUUUCAUGAAGUAGUUCCUUCCUUUGUCUGGGUCUUCAGGUUCUGAAUCCGACAUGCCCAAAAUAGAACACACCUUGAACGUAUGUUCGUCCACCUGGAAAGCCGUGAACAUGCUGGCACGCUUUAUUUCUUCCUGGAAUCUGCAAGUUUUGUGUGUUUUAUGUUAAUCUAUCGUGCGAUCUUUUUUUUUUGUAGGACGUUACGCUGUCAUGGAAAUAGAACUAGAUUUUUGUUUGAAUAUGGCAAACAUAGUACAUUGAACAUGGCAAACAUAGUACACUGAACAUGGCAACUGUAGUAUACCAGACAUGGCAACUGCAGUAUACCAGACAUGGCAACUGCAGUACACCAGACAUGGCAACUGUAGUACACUAAACAUGGCAACUGUAGUAUACCAGACAUGGCAACUGCAGUACACCAGACAUGGCAACUGGAGUACACUGAACAUGGCAACUGUACAACAUUUUCAACUGGCCAUCGUCAUUUCCACACCAAUAUUUCCCCCAAUGGAAGCACAGUGCAUAAAACAUGACAUCUACAUUUGAGUAAACAUAGCAAUUGCAUUUUCAACAAACAUGGCAGUUGCAUUUCAGUAAACAUGGCAAUUGCAUUUCAGCAUAUGCGUUGACAAUAUAACAUUUUUCAGUUGAUAUUGGCAUUUGCAUACCAACAUGCCCCAAUGGAAGUACAGUUUAUUAAACAUGGCAUCUGCACUUCAUUUGAACAUGGAAAAUGUAUCCGAGUAAGCAUUGUAAACAGAAUUUUCAUUGAACAUGGCAACUACAGCUGAGUAAGCAUGGCAAACCGUAUUUCAUUAAAUAUGGCAACUGCAUAUCAUGGCAACUGCAUUGCACUCUACUAGGCACCUACUGCCUUAGUACUUUUGCACAAAUAAGACCGUAACGCAAUUGACUUACUUGUUAAAGAUCUUGUUUGUGUAUAUCUUGCUCAUUUGCCUCUCCAUCGGUAAAUACGUCAGCAAUUUUGGCUGCUUUAGUGCGGUGUUCGCUUCUUGCUGUAGCUCAGGUCCCAGUAUUUUUUGUUGCAAAGCUGUAUAUUGCUUGGCAAACUGUAGCAAUGAGUUGCCAGGACUCACGUAUCGCUUCAAAACAGCAUUGAACCCCUCGCUGCGCUGCGUAGUCUGCAGAAAGGGGAAGAAGCACUGCAUGAAGUAGGCGGGCACCCAGUACAUUCGCUUCUCCCACAGGCUAGCAAACGUCUCGUUGUCUUGGACUUCAUGUGCUUCAACCAUGGCCAUCCAGCUCCUUUCAAACUCCUCGACCGUCAAGCUGUGGUCCACACACAGCUCGAAUACCUUGUGCAGCUCUGGACGGUUAGCAAAGAACGGUCCUAGCGUCUCCUCAGCCUUCUUUAUAAUGUGCCACCUGCAGUGCCUGUGCAUUGCCAACGGAAAGACCCCCUCUAUGCCUGCCCGCAUGCUGAAAUCUUGGUCUGUUAUUAUGUUCAUCGGCGCAAGUCCAUCCAUGCACUCCAAGAAGGUCUUGAACAACCAGACGUACCCAUCCCUGUCUUCGUUCCGAACGAGCCCGCAGCCGAACUGCAACGACUGAUUGUGGUUAUUUAUUCCUAUGAACGGAGCGCAUGGCAUCUUGUACAUAUUGGUGAGGUACGUCACGUCGAAUGAAAUGCAAUCUCAGAAAUGUUUGUAGGCUCUCCUUGCAGCACCAUCCACCCAAUACAUGUUCCUGACACAGUCCUCAUCGUCCAACCUUAUCCUGUAGAAGAAAUCUGGAUCUUCCUUCGCUUUCUCAUCGAAGUAGGCAAUUGUGGCCUCUAUGUCCGCCGGUUUGCUCUCUCUACGGUAUUUGGCCUGUAGGUUUGUGACGUCAGCUGGUAUGUACGGCAUGCUACUCAGAGUCCCCUUUUUGCUGUGGAUGAGCGAUAGUAUCUGGAUCAUUCUUGAUGGACUGACGUUACAAUCGUGUAGCAGCUUUACGAAUUGUCUUUCGACGGGGGUGAACCCUCUGUGGGCGGUCAGAAAUUUUACCAGGUCGAACUUCUUUAUGAGUUGGUGGUUGUGCUCGUCAAAAUAGUCAGUGACCACCCACUGUGUACCAUCUACGUUUAGCUUACACCGGACAGGGCAUUCUGUCUUUAGAAUGAUACCUCUCUUUCGUUCCGGAACGACAGACGCAUCACCUUUCCCCUUCUUGUUCCUCCAUGCCUUGUGGCACCUCAUCUCACCUCUGCUGUACUCAUUAGUUUUCUUAAUUUUCCUAUGGUACUCGGUGUUGACCGCAAAUCCAUGGAACUUUGCAUAUGUCUGGUAGUAUUCCUUUGCUUCUUUGAACGAUUCAAAUCUCUGCCCAAUGUACGGUGGCUGAGGUACCAUGAUCUCUGAUUGCCCGCCAUCUUCAUCCCCUUCUGCCUCGUCGUCAGUUUCAUCAUUCACUUCAGUAUCGGCGGCAGUCCCAUCCACUUGAGUGUUGGCAGUGCUUGUGUUCAAAGGGGUGCUUGUCGGUAUUGCUGGAAUAAUUGCCAUUCCCGACUGUGACUCGAAAUUGUCUGCGGCAUGAUUGUCUGCUGGCUGGUGGAACGCGUCUUCCGUGCGCUCAGAGCUCCCCGCAGUAGAUGUCCCCGCGCCGCUGUUAACUGUAGUUGUAGGCCCUGUAAUAGGAAAAAUAGAUACGAGAGUAAGUUUUUUGUUUGAAUAACAUAUGUAUCGCAACGGAUCACACCAUCUACGAGUGAUUUGGCACGACAUCAUUUCAAACAGCAAGCCGUGAUUCUGCGCAUGGACAUGUACGGCAGCUACAGCUGUCCAGUGAUGGCAGCUACUGUUCAACAAACAUGGCAACUAUUGUUUUUGCCUACAAAUAACUUCAAAUAACAAAUGUAGUGCUGUUUUUGUGGUUCAGUUUUUUUUCCCUUACCUUGUUGUGUUGCAUUUGACCUUUUUGUGUGGUCUGUGACACCAAAAUGACGUGCUCCACCUGCAGUUUCUGAAGCUUGCCACGAGACGUUUGCCGGGUUACCACCAGCGUAAUAACCUGUACGCAAAGUAGUGGUUGGUCAAUUCAUGGCAAAUGCAUUUUGUGUUAGCACGGCAACCGCAGUUGCCCCUUCUGUGGCAACUGCAGUUUUACUGGCAUGGCAACUGUAUUUGCAUCGGCAUGGCAACCGCAGUUGUUCCUUCAUGACAGCUGCAGUUGCCAUGGCAUGGCAAAUGUAGUCGCACUGGCAUGGCAACUGCAGUUGUUCUUUCCUGGCAACUGCAGGUGUCCAUGGAUGGCAACAACAAUUGUGCAGAGAUGUCAAGUGUAUUUUCUAAUUCACGGCAACUGUAGUUGUCCAGUCCUGACAAUUGUAGUUGUCAACUAUGCUCCUUCUGCUAAUUGAUCAUCCGUAACUUCACUUUUUUUAUGGACUCACCUGUGUAUGACGUCGAUGGCAGGUAUAUUGGUGCUGCCUGAUGCCACGCGCUACAUGAAGGCUCUGCAUUUUCACCCGUGGUAACUCGUGGGUCCUUUUGCCAGUUUUUUUGCAUGUUCAUUUUUCAUGUCCACUGCAGUAUGUUCUCUUUUCUCGGUUUGCAUUACCUUGAUUAUCCAUACAAGCUAGUUGAAGUUGGCUGCCCAUACAUUUGUCAGUGUUAGCGCCUUGUGAGUGAACUUGUCACGGGGGCCCCCUAAUUGUGUUUUGGUCAUAAGAACCUGCGAAAAAAUGACAGUGCACGACAUAAGUAGAAUGUCAUCUUCAUCAUUGCGAAGAUGGCAACUGUUCUCUUCUUUUGUUAUCACGCAUCAUACCUACGCCUGCAUACUGUUCUAGUAGUGGCAGCAACGGCCCUGAAGAGAUGAGCUGACUGUACUCUAUUGCAUCCCAAGGGGGCAUUUCUGGCCUUUGAGAACCCCAAGCAUCAGCGCCAUCUUCGUGAUUCAUUCUUUCCGUGUCUCGCUUCUUUCCAAUGUGUUCUCAAUCACUGCAUGAACAAGAAGGCAUCAACAAUCCACAAGAAUUGUAUUCUUCUGCUGCUUGCACAUAGAAGAUAUGGAUGGCAAGCGACGGGUCAAAAUAGGUGGCAGCUACCGACAAGGAAAGGUGGCAACUGUCGUUAUACACAAGUGGCAACUAAUUUCUUCCAGCCCUCUUCAUUCCAACAUUUGCUCCUACUGUCCUUCUUUAGUGAUUCCUACUCAUCCAUUUUUCAUACCCAACUACUUGCGUCAAUUAAGCUAGGAAGUUAAGUCAUUUUCAAACGUAGUACAUGGCAGAUCUGGUGUACUCUGCCUGGCAAUUGCGACUACACACUAAACCAUGUAGUGUUCUACCCCUAUAGCAUAGAUCCAGCACAAGAUCAGGAGAUUUUCAGCCUUAAGGAUGAGAAGGUCGAGAUCGGGAGAUUCUCACCUGGUUUUUAGAUUUUCGUCUCUGGAGGGCUGGGUUGGAGUUUGGGGCUGGGGUGGGGAGGGUUGGGGUGUGGUUUUGAGGUGGGAGUGCCCUAUGGAUGUGCUCUGAUUGCCAUGGCAACCAGAGAAGGCCGGCGACGGAGGUCGGGGUUCGAGAGGUGGGGGACGAUGGCGGCAGACGAGAGAGGGGAUUGAUCAGAGGCCGUGAACUGCUUUGUCGUGCGGGCAGCGGGUCGGCUUGCCCGGACGAGGCAGUGCGGGCGGGGUUGGCACGCAACGGACGUGCGGGCCGUGCUUUUGUGCGCGCGGACGUGGUCAUGCGGGCCGGUUCCCGUCCAUGCCACACGAGGCGUGCGGGCUGGUUUCCGUCGACGCCACACGUGUGGCAGUUAUUCGGACCCUAGUUAAUUCCUUAGUUAAAAUUUGACACAAAUUACAAAAGGUUUGAUAAAUCCGGACGGAGGUAGUACUAGUAGGCCGUAUAAUGAUUUCUCGGAAUCUUUAAAGGCGAAAAAAGGAAGAAGGGGGCAACAAAUGCCCAAAAAACAAAGAUAUUUUCCGAGAGGAAGGUGCCUUCGGAGAAGAAGCACAGCUCACUCAGCUACGGACCUGCAGCUAGUCCGCUGCAUCAUCCUCAAAGUCAAGGUCUCCUCCUCCUCCCGCCAGCGACCUCCACUGCGACCGACAGGCAGGUGCGCACACGCUCUUCCUUAGAUCCUCUUCUUCGUCCUGCUUUGAUUCCGCGCUCUGUCCGGGCUUGCUCGUCGGACUGCGCCGGCGGCCCAGGCCGCACUUUGUGCUUCCGGAUCUGGCAGCCGGACCUGGGUCGUCGCGCCGAGAUGGCGAAUCCAAUCCCCAUAUUAUCAGGGUGUGAUAUGCGCUUCUGAUUUGGGCCGAUUCCUGCCCGCCUUUCAGCAGUUCCCCACUCUGCUCCUAGCCUGUCUUGACUGCAGAUAUGCUCAUUCAUCAUUCCUUCUUUGAUGCUGCAGGGCCGAAGCCUCCGGCAAACUCUGAUGUGAAUCAGCAGCAUGUGAGAGCGGCUUUCAAGCUAUCCUGCCCGGCCCGGUUACUAGUUUCGUCGUCAGUUAGGUAACGAUUUUUCUCUUUCAGUAUGGAUGUAUCAAGCCAGACUAGCUCUUUCACAGCUUGCAAUGUGAUUUUCACAACACAGCCAAAACCACAUGUCGGAAGAACGAGAAACACUUCACCAACACGUGUUCCCAUACCAGGUUUAAUCCUCAUGUGCGGCAGCAAAGUUAGACACCACUGUGGCCAUGACAUAUUGACAUAUGGGGCACACAAUGCCUAUGACAUGUUGACUUAGGGGGGGUAUAAAAGUUCUAAUUUUUCUGUACCUGCAUAUGAGGUUCGACAUCUUUGUAACAUGUUUAAUCAACAUAUCCCUUUAAGGUGUUCUCUUGUGGCGGUGUAUUUAGUACUCCCUCCUUCAUAGAAGAACAUUUCAAUUUUGCUGUAUUUUGUAACAAUUGCAGCUAUUUAUUCCAUCAUAAGCAUUAAAGUUCCAUAGCGGACACGACUAUAUUUAAGCGAUUAAGUCAAGUCACACAAAUGUACUGCGUUUAGUUAUGUAUUAAAACAUGACUUAAAUUUUCCUUCAUUCACAAUACCAUUUAUCAGCACAACGCUAUAUCUUUUUCCUUAUAUGUAAUAUAUGGACCCAAUUAGUAGUUCUAUCAGAUUAUCUCAGUGUUAGCUGACAAAGAGUGAUAAUUGUAUAUUUAUCUACUACAGGUACAUUGGCAUAAGGUAUCUUCACUCAUGAUAUUUUGAUAAAAUUCUUAUUAAAUAUCAACAGAACUACACAUUCCAUCCAUGCAUGAAACCAGUGGAGUUAAGUGUCAACAACGCUAGAGAUUUUGAGUUGGAAAAUUAGUGGAAAUAAGUCAAGCAUCAGAGAAAUUUUCUCUCUGAAUAUAUAUAUAUAUAUAUAUAUAUAUAGCUAGUUUGCGACCUAAUUUUUUUGGGAUGAAAUCAGUUAUCGUCCCAUUUAACACGUGAUCUAUGUUUAUUUUAUUCAGCACAAAUGGCGGAGGCUGUGCUCCUUGCUCUUGGAAAGACUGGGAAGGUUUUAACUGAUGAGGUUGCCAAGGCCUUGGUGGCCAAGGUGUUAGCAAAAGUUGGUAACCUGAUUGAUCUGAAUGACAAGAUUGGGCAAAUAGAGGUUCAGUUAAAAGCCAUGAACAACAUCAUACGGGAGAUUGGCACAAUGUACCUCACCAAUGAGUUCAUGAAGGGUUGGAUUGGGGAGGUGAGGAAGUUGGCCUACCGCGUUGAGGAUGUGCUGGACAAAUACUCAUAUCACUCUCUUCAAAUGGCAGAAGAAGGUUUUCUGAAGAAGCGUUUCCUCAAAGGAUCACAUUAUCUCCUGGUUUUCAGUCAAAUUACCGAUGAGGUAGUCAAGAUAGAGAAGGACAUCAAGCAAGUUAUCGAGCUCAAGGGGUGGUCGCAACCACCCCAGUAUGUUCAUGACCCGCUUAGUGAGGUGGAAAGACAACGGUCCCAAGAUCGCUUCCCUGAACUUGUGAAAGAUGAAGAUCUGAUUGGAAUUGAAGAUAACAGGAGAAUGCUGACUGAAUGGCUGUACUCGGAUGAGAUGGACGGUAGGGUGAUAACAGUGUCAGGUAUGGGUGGCUUGGGAAAAACAACCCUCACCACAAAUGUGUAUGAACGUGAAAAGGCCAACUUCCAAGCUCAUGCAUGGGUGGUUGUGUCUCAGACCUACACCGUUGAAGCUCUGUUGAGGAAGUUACUCAGGAAGGUUGGUUACACUGAACAACAAGCAUCAUCUAACAUUGACCGGAUGGAUGUGUAUGACUUGAAGGAAGAAAUAAAGCGAACACUUCAAGAUAGGAAAUGUUUGUUCGUCUUGGAUGAUGUCUGGAACCAGGACGUGUACUAUCAACUGCGAGAUGCACUCCAGAAUUCUCGUGAAAGUCGCAUCAUCAUCACAACGCGGAAUAACCAUGUUGCUGCUGUUGCUCACUCGUCACGUCGUAUCGAUCUCAAGCCUUUGGGGGACAAUGACGCAUUUGAACUCUUCUGCAGAAGGGUCUUUUAUAGCAAAAAGGACCAGCAGUGUCCUGAUUAUCUUUUGGAAACUGCUAAAUCUAUAGUUCAUAGGUGUCGGGGACUGCCACUAGCAAUUUUAUCGAUUGGCGGCCUCUUGUCUUCGAGGCCACAGACACAAUAUGAUUGGGAGCAAUUAUACAAUCAGCUUCCAACUGAGCUGUCGAACAAUGAUCAUGUCAAGGCAGUUUUGAAUCUGAGCUACCAUGACCUAUCUGGAGACCUCAGAAACUGCUUCUUGUACUGUAGCUUAUUCUCGGAAGACUACCCAAUGUCACGUGAGACCCUUGCGAGGCUCUGGGUUGCAGAAGGCUUUGUGUUGAGAAAAGGAAAUAGCACCCCAGAGGAGGUGGCCGAGGAAAACCUAAGGAAACUGAUCCACCGCAAUAUGCUUGAAGUCAUGGAUAGAGAUGAACUGGGAAGGGUGAGCACCUGUACGAUGCAUGAUAUUGUGCGAGAGCUGGCUCUUUGUAUUGCAAGGGAGUAGCGGUUUGUAUCCACAAGCGACUAUGGCACAAUGCAACAGAUGGAUAUGGAUGCUCGUCGUCUGUCAUCAUGUGGAUGGAAAGAGAAUACUGCACGGAAAAUUGAACUUCCACGUCUUCGAACUCUAGUGUCGCUAGGAGCAACACCUGCCAUGCUAUCCUCAGUUUUGUCGAAAUCCAGCUAUCUGACUGUCCUCGAGCUACAAGACUCUGAAAUCACUGAAGUACCGGCAUUGAUAGGGACACUCUUCAAUUUACGUUACAUUGGCUUACGCCGCACUAAGGUCAGGUCCCUCCCGGGCUCUGUUGAGAAACUAUCUAACCUGCAAACUCUGGACAUCAAGCAAACUAAAAUAGAGAAACUGCCAAGUGGGAUUGCCAAGCUCAAGAAUCUACGGCACCUAUUUGCUGAUAGAUUUGCUGAUGAGAAGCAGACGGAGUUUCGGUACUUUAUCGGAGUUCAAGCACCUAAAGAACUAUCCAGUAUUGAAGAGCUGCAGACUCUUGAGACCAUCCAAGCCAGCAAGGAUUUGGCCGAGCAGCUGAAGACAAUGAUGCAACUUAGAACUCUGUGGAUUGACAACAUAAGUUCUGCUGAUUGUGCAAAUAUUUUUGACACCCUGUCAAAUAUGAAACAUCUUUCCAGCUUGCUUCUUUCCGGGAAGGAUGAGAAUGAGGCACUUUGUUUCGAGGCUCUCAAGCCAAGGUCUGCACAUCUCCACAAGUUGAUCAUCAGAGGGAAAUGGGCAAAGGGGACACUGGACUGCCCGAUAUUUCGCAGCCACGGGGAAAAUCUCAAGUAUCUAGCACUAAGCUGGUGUCACCUCGGGGAAGAUGAAGAUCCGCUAGGGAUGCUUGCACCACACCUGCGGAACCUCACAUAUCUGAAACUUAACAACAUGCGCAGUGCAAAUAUCUUGGUUCUUUCUGCAGAUUCCUUUCCUCAGCUGAAGACGCUUGUGUUGAAGGACAUGCCUCAUGUCAACGAGCUAAAGAUCAUGGAUGGUGCCCUCCCAUGCAUUGAUGGUUUGUAUGUUGUUUCGCUGUCGAAGCUUGACAAGGUCCCUCGAGGCAUUGAAUCCCUUGGUUCCCUGAAGAAGCUUUGGCUGCUGCGCUUGCACAGGGACUUCAAAACUCAGUGGGACAUCAACGGGAUGCACCAGAAGAUGACGCGUGUUCCAGAGGUUCGUGUCUGAAUGCGGCAUAGUGGUUCUUUUUUCUGCAGUGGCAUUCUGGUAUGGUGCAUCCAUGUCAUUCUAGAUUUAAUAAUUCUGGCAUGUUACAAUUCUUAAGACACCAUUUGCGAGUCUUGUACUUUUGUAUCGUGAUACGGUUUCUGUUUUGAAAAUGCCGGUGUUCAUUGCCUUCAGGAGGCCCUGUACUUUUUUUGUAUUAUUUCAGUUCCAUGCUGUAAAACUGAUUUCAGGAAACAGUUGUGUCGAACAUGUGAGAAAACAAUGUUGUAAAAUUUGUUUACCUUGCUGUUAGUAGAUACCGCUCAAUCUAUGUUUCUACUGCAUCCUGCUUGUUGUUCUCGAAGAGGCGCAUCCUCGGUCGAGACUGAUUUCCGUGUCCAAGUGAAGCCCUUGCUUGAGUUGAGAGUCCGAGAGGCGGGAUUUGGUAGGUGCUCAACAACUGCAGUGUUUAAUGUGUGAAGAAAAUGUUGUGUUUUAGUAACAGUAGUUUUGAUUCUGGUUUAGGCCGCUGCUGGGGUUUGUAUUUGUACAGCUUUACUGAUCUGUACUGUUUGAGUAGGUUUGGUACCACCCUUAGAAAUGCUGCUGGCUUUGUACAAGCUGCACGUACACAAUUCAUUUUGUGUAUGGUGGGAAUACCAUGAUGGCCAUUUCAAGUGUCGUAUGGAGGGGAGCUCCUAACCGGCGCCUUAAGCGCCGGUUCAGGAAGCUGGCAGUCACACGCCGCACCUCAUGGGCCGGCCCACCACGCGCUGAGGAAGGAAAGCUAGUGACUACAACGAACGUGAAAUGUAUAAGAACCAAUAAAUUAGCGCUAUUUAUUAGAUUUCCUAACUAUUUUAAAAACACUUCAUCAAAUUUUGAAAAAAGUUUACGAAUUAAAAAAAACAGUUCAUUGAUGUUUAAGAAAAGUUCAGUAAAUUAAAAAAAGUUCAUCUAUUUGAAAAAAUUUCAUCCUUCUUUUUUAAAAAUAUUUCAUCGCAUCUAAAAAAAGUUCAAUGAAUUUGAAAAAACGUUCAUCCUUCUUUUUAUAAGAAAAGUUCAUCAAAUCUAAAAAAAGUUCAACGAAAUUGAAAAAAACGUUCAUCCUUCUUUUUUAAAAAAAGUUCAUCAAAUCUAAAAAAAAGUUCAACGAAUUUGAAAAAACAAUCACAAUGGGACUCGAACUCCAGACAUAGCGCUGCAUGCUAACGAAGCUGGCCAGCUGGGAUACUAAUUGUGUACAUCCUAAAAACGGCGUUUGUUUUUAAGUACCAACCCAAAUGGUAGAUCCAGGGUUUUUCAACAUUUUCCAUUAAUUCUUGGAAAAAUUGAAAAUCUUAAAUAUGCGAACAAAUGUUUCGAAUAUCAUACGCAAAUUUCGAAUAUUCCUUUUCUUUUAAAUGUGAACUAUGUUUUUCAAAAGUCAAAAAGUGAACAAGUUUCGAAAAUUGAAUACUUUUUUUGUACUGUGAACAAUUUUUAGAAAGGGAAUUUAGAAUACACAUUGAACAUUUUCUUAUUAUAGGGUGAACAUCAUUCAAAGAGACACUGAACAUUUUUUUUAAAAUACGCUGAACUUUUUUUGAAUGAAUGCUGAACAAAAUUUCUCUACACGAUGAACAUUUUUUUAUACACACUGAACAUUUUUUCAAUGUAUGGUGAACAAUAUUCAAAUACACAUAGAACUUUUUUUUAAAUACGAUGAACUCGUUUUGAAUGCAUGAUGAACAAAAUUUCUAUACACGAUGAAACAUUUUUUUAUACACACUGAACAUUUUUUCAAUGUAUGGUGAACAUUUUUCCUCAAUAUGGUGAACAAAAAUUUGAAAUUCGAAACUAUUUUUGAAACGUGAACAAAAUUCGAAAACAUGAACAAAAUUUGGAAUUUCAAAAAACAUUUUCUGAAAAGGCAAACGAAUUUCGAAAAAUCUGAACAUAUUUUGGAUAUUGAAAAUAGUUCAUCCAAUUCGAAAACAGUUCAUCGAAUUUAAAAAAGUUCACUGAUUUUCAAAAAAAGUUUGUUGAAUUUGAAAAAAAGUUCAUCAAUUUUGAAAAAAGUUCAUGGAAUUUGGUGAGAAAAGUUCAUCGAUUUUGCAAAAAGUUCACCAAAUAUGAAAAAAGUUCAUAAAAUUGAAAAAAAGUUCGUCGAUUUUGAAAAAGGCAGAAAAAGGAAAAAGAAAAAAGAAAAAGAAAAGGCAAAAAGAAAAAACAACAGAAAAAAAGAAAAAAGAAAAACUCGUUAGAAGUAAAGAAGAUAGAGGAAUUAGAUAAUCGUAGAAGGUGGUUUGGCUGUGUUGGUUAGCGCACUCUGCGCGAUUCCUUGUCACUUCGUUUUUUGCAGCAAGUCGGGCUCCCUGGUUUUUGUGGGCCGUGGGAGGCACGGCCUAGCAAGGAUUGCUGCCCCGCUCCUAAUUCAUCGAGUGGGUUUGUUUUGCUCUGUGCAGGGUUAUCUUAGUUUGUACCACAUUGGUUGUGGAGGAAAGAGUGUCAGGGGGGUACGAUCAAAAAAAAAAAAGAGUGUCAGGGGUGGCCGGGUAUAAGAUGGGAUAGCAGGCGAGCCGUUAGAGGCAUCUUUGCGCUUGGGGCAAUGACGCAGCUAGUGAGGUUAUACCGAGGCGCGUCAAUUGCUGGUUGAAAACUAUUUCCAAACCCCCUCUUUGGCCCUCCCGGGCCACUGAGAAUUUCUGAAAGGGCUCCUUUCCUUCGGGGAGGGUAAAGCCCUACAAAUAUGAAGAUGAAAGUAUUUGUUCAGUUUUUUAGCUACAUGGCCUAAGACCAGAGGGAGUACUAGUUUCUUCUCAAACGGGACUUAGUACUGGUUGUUUCUCUCAGAUCAGCGGAUACUGAAGAUAAUGAAAUUUUCAAUGACUUACAGCACGAUUGAUGCUGCCGUUCCACAGAAAUGUAAGCAGAAAUGCACAAACGUAAGCUAGUACGGCUACAGAUGAAGCUGCCGCGGAUCUGUGUACCAUUAGUAACAUCAGUAGCACAAAUGCAAAGCCUCAUCACCGAAAUACUAUAUUGAUUCUGAUGUUACUAAAGCCUGAUCACCGUCGAUGUGCAUGUAGGAUUAGUAGACACCUGUAAGAACAAGAUUACCACACCACCCGUCCUUGUCUCGCCCGUCUGGUUGUGGGUUGUACUAAUGUACUGUUCGGAGACACACGUGGUUUGUUCGCUCUUUGCUGUCAAAAGAGUGAGUAAUGAGAGUUGGGGAACAGGUGAUGCAACUGCCGGAUGAGAAAGCACAUAUCAUCAGUACAGGCCACUGCCAUGGCCUUCUUCUCCCUCUUGCUCCUCCUCCUCCUGCUUCUCGCCGCCCAUGGCGUGUCCCUUUUGAAAGUACUUCACAGACGAUACAGCGCUGAACAACACUCGGACGAUGGCUAAUCCAGCCGUUGGUUGUUGUUUCAGCCUUGCUCAUGGAUGGCGUGAUACGUAUGUCGUGCAUGUAUCGUUUGCUAAAUGUCGUCUAUGUAGCAGUGCUCUGUCCCCUUCACGCGGAGCGACUUCCCACCGGGCCUCGUCUUUGGCGCCACCACCUCCGCAUGCCAGGUGACUGAAUAUUGGUUUGGAUUUAUCAGCUACUCCCUGUCUCCCUCCGUCCUAGACUCCUAGUACAAUAUAAGAAUGUUCUACAAGCCACUAGUGUUAAAAAAAACGUUUUACAUUAUGAUAUCGAGGGAGUAGAAGGGAGUAGCAGCGAUCUCUUACAAAAGUCACUCUGUUUCUCCUGCCCUCAGUGCGCUGCUCUGGUUAAUUUGCUCUGUUUUUUAAUGCAGUACGAGGGCGCUGUUGCUGAGGAUGGCAAGAGCUCAAGCAUCUGAUCUGGGACAACUUCACUCACGCUGGUAAUCAACGAACUUGUCGGUUUCCGUCAGUUUUCAAAACAAAACAAAAAUCUGUUCUCUUCUGACGGGUACUCUAUGAGUUUAUACACUCAAAUUAGCCAAUAUUAGAGCAGGGUAUACACAAAUGAGAGAGUAUAUAAUCAGUUGGUAAGCAACACGUCUUUCUUUCCCAUUUCGCAAGGUAGCUAGGGCAAAGCCUUCUUUCCCUCUACCUCUGUCGGGGAUAUACCCCGCGGUGUAACCCGGCCGUAAGGUAUAACCUGCUGAAAUCUGAGAUGGGCUCUAGGCCCAUAUUGCAAUUUCUGAAAAAUCUCUAAGGGCCCAUGUGAGUUAUAUGGCACUAGGUGUGGUGGGAAGUUUAGUCCCACUCCGGGAAGUGGAAGGAGAGUUGGAGUGGUUUAUAAGGGUUUCUCUUCUACAUGCUAUUGGAGCUUGAGAAGAGAAGAGCCCUCGCGCACUCCUCCUCCGCCGCCCGCCUCGCCACGCCACGCCACGCCUCGUCACGACGCGCCGCGCCGCGGGUUGCGGGAUUGAGCCGAGCCGAGCUCACACCUACGCGCUUAUUUUUGCCAGUCACUAACGGAGAGUUUUCUGACAGCUGGGCCACGAUCUGAGACGUCGGAUCGUGGGGCUGUCACGGACUCGGACGUGGGUCGAGCCCACGUCUCUCCACGCGGCUGCGCCUAUAAGUAUGCGGUGUCUCCUAACCCUAGCCGCCACGAACAGAUCACAUCUGCUCACGCGCACGCCCACCGUCGUUCCUCUGCUGCUGCUGCCGCCGGUGACUCCAUCCCGUCCGCCACGUACACGGUCGACGGGAGAGCAGGUCUCCGAAACCACGCCCUUCUGGUUCCUGUACGGGGUGAGGGGCGAAUAGGUUUUUGAGCAGCGAUUACGCGACUGCUCGCUUCCGAUCGUCUACUUCCUCUACGUUCGCGUCGCCUUCGUCAUCACCAUGUCCACCGACGCCGACCGUGCCGCCGCCGAGAAAGCUGAAGCUGACAAGAAGGUCGCCGAGGACGCCGCUGCUGCCACCAAAGCCGCGGCCUCUGCGUGGCCUACUGGAGGGUAUAACUCGUUUAUCCCGCUCCUGAUUAUUUUCAUAUUAGCAGUACUAGCAGUAUGUGUAGAUUUGUCUACUGUUUGCUUAGUACGUGCAUGUUUAGAUCAGAGUGAGUACGUCAUCAACUUAGUCAAUGCCAUGCUAGUGAUUUACUCAUGGAUUAAUUUAAUCGAGAAAUUGCCUAUUUACUCAACAAUCCAAAAACCUAUCAUGUGUAGGAAUUUCUCGGCAAGUGGCUUUGCCGCUGCACUGAAACCGGAUAAGUUUACCGGUACAUACUUCAAGCGUUGGCAGACUAAGACCACGUUAUGGCUCACGGCUAUGAACGUGUUCUGGGUCACCGGUGUCUCCACGGGAACGAUUGCUCCUGAACAGGAGAAGGCGUUCAAGGAGGCUACCGUUGUGUUUCUCGGAGCAGUUCUUAGCGUGAUCGGAGAUAAACUGGUCGACGCAUAUUUACAUGUGCAUGUCGCCAAGGACUUGUGGGAGGCGCUCGAAUCUAAAUUCGGGGCCGCCGAUGCAGGGAGCGAGAUGUAUAUUAUAGAGCAGUUCCACGAUUACAAGAUGGUUGAAAACCGUCCUGUAUUGGAGCAGGCUCAUGAGAUAAUAUGCAUUGUUAAGGAACUUGAGCUUCUCAAGUGCGAGUUACCAGGCAAGUUUGUCGCGGGCUGCAUAAUCGCUAAGCUCCCUAAUUCCUGGAGGAACUUUGCCACCACUCUGAAACAUCAGAGGCGUGAAUUCUCUGUGGAGGAUGUCAUUGGCCAUCUGAGUGUUGAGCAGAAUUCGAGGGCAAAAGACUCGCACGGAAAAGGGGCCGAAGGGACUUCUGUUGCCAACAUGGUGAACCAGAAGAACUUCAACUCCCACAAGCCCAAGGGAAAGAACGGUGUCCAACACAAUACCGACUUUAAGAAGAAGGGUAAGAAGACCUUCAAGAAGAACAAGAAGGACGAGGGCUGCUUUACUUGUGGUUCGGUUGAACAAUGGGCCAACAAGUGCCCAAACAAGUACAAGAAGUCAGGACAGGACUCCAAGUCUGUCAACAUGAUUGUGGGCAACAAUGAGAAUGGUGCAUCUGGGUACGGUAAUUUAUUUACUGUUUUUUCAGUGUUUCAACCCAACGAUUGGUGGGUGGACACAGGUGCAGGUGUUCAUGUGUGUGCUGACAUUUCAUUGUUCACUUCUUACCAGGUCACAGGUCACGGGUCCGUAUUGAUGGGGAAUGGCGCGAGUGCUUCUGUUCAUGGUGUUGGCACGGUCGAUCUGAAGUUUACUUCGGGAAGGAUCGUGCAGCUGAAGAACGUGCAGCAUGUCCCCGCCAUCAAGAAGAACCUCGUUAGUGGCUCCCUUCUAUGUAGAGAAGGGUUUAAGUUGGUUUUCGAGUCUAAUAAAUUAGUUGUUACAAAAUAUGGACUCUUUGUUGGAAAAGGUUAUGAGAGCGGAGGGAUGUUCCGCCUUUCCCUCGCAGAUUUUUGUAAUAAAGUCGUGAACCAUAGUCAUGUCCUGAAUAAAGUUCCGACAAAGGAUAGUGAGAUCACUCCCUAUUAGAAAUGGGCAAAGAGAAGGACGACACUCUCGUACUUGCGCACUUGGGGCUGUUUGGCGAAAGUCAACGUGCCGAUCCCCAAAAAGCGUAAGCUUGGACAUAAGACCGUGGACUGCAUUAAUUUGGGCUACGCUAAGAACAGCGUUGGCUAUAGAUUUCUAGUAGUGAAAUCUGAGGUACUUGACCAGAAGAUCGGUACAAUUAUGGAGUCUAAGGAUGCUACAUUCUUUGAGGAUAUUUUUCCUAUGAGAGAUAUGCAAAGCACUUCUAGACAGGAAUCUGAGGAGACUCCUGAACCUGCCAUCCCUAUGGAAUAUUAUGAACAAACACAUGAUGAAAAUCCCGAGGAGGAUGACGAGGAAACCCUUGGUAGGGGCAAGAGACAAAGGACUGCAAAGACCUUUGGUGAUGAUUUCUUCGUGUACCUCGUGGAUGAUACUCCCACUUCUAUUUCAGAAGCGUAUGCCUCUCCAGAAGCUGACUACUGGAAGGAUGCGGUCCGUAGCGAGAUGGAUUCCAUCAUGGCUAACGGGACAUGGGAGAUCACUGACCGUCCCUAUGGUUGCAAACCACUGGGAUGUAAGUGGGUGUUCAAAAAGAAGCUUAGGCCCGAUGGUACGAUUGAAAAGUACAAGGCUAGGCUUAUGGCCAAGGGCUAUGACCAGCAAGAAGAGGAAGAUUUCUUUGAUACUUAUUCACCUGUGGCUAGACUGACCACCAUUCGAGUAUUACUCUCGUUGGCGGCCUCACAUGGUCUUCUCGUCCAUCAGAUGGAUGUUAAGACGGCUUUUCUAAAUGGAGAGCUAAAGGAGGAAAUCUACAUGCAACAGCCUGAUGGCUUUGUGAUAGAUGGUCAGGAAAGAAAGGUGUGUAGGUUGAUAAAAUCUUUAUAUGGCCUGAAACAAGCACCUAAGCAAUGGCAUGAUAAGUUUAAUACAACUCUGACAUCUGUUGGUUUCGUAGUUAAUGAGGCUGACAAAUGUGUAUAGUAUCGCCAUGGUGGGGGCGAAGGAGUUAUACUGUGCUUGUAUGUUGAUGACAUACUGAUAUUCGGAACAAACCUCAAAGUCAUUGAGGAGGUCAAAUCGUUUCUAUCUCAGAACUUUGAGAUGAAAGACCUUGGUGUGGCUGAUGUUAUCUUGAACAUCAAGCUACUGAGAGAUAAUGAGGGUGGGAUCACACUUCUGCAAUCCCAUUACGUUGAGAAGGUGUUGAGUCGCUUUGGAUAUUCGGACUGCACACCAUCUCAAACACCAUAUGAUCCUAGCGUAUUGAUUCGAAAGUCCAAAGGCAUGGCUAAAGAUCAAUUGAGAUACUCUCAAAUCAUUGGUUCACUGAUGUACCUAGCGAGCGCAACGAGGCCUGACAUCGCGUUUGCUGUGAGCAAACUGAGCCGGUUUGUUUCCAAACCGGGUGAUGUACAUUGGCAUGCUGUUGAGAGAGUUAUGCGCUAUCUGAAAGGUACUAUGAACUAUGGACUUCACUAUACCGGAUACCCGUCGGUACUUGAAGGGUAUAGUGAUGCGAAUUGGAUCUCUGAUGCUGAUGAGAUGAAGGCCACAACUGGGUAUAUGUUUACUCUUGGAGGUGGCGCUAUUUCCUAGAAGUCUUGCAAGCAAACUAUCUUAACGAGAUCGACAAUGGAAGCAGAAUUAACGGCAUUAGACACAUCUGGUGUUGAAGCGAGAUGGCUUCGAGAUCUUUUGAUGGACUUGCCAUUGGUUGAUAAACCGGUUCCGGCUAUCCUUAUGAACUGUGACAAUCAGACUGUCAUCACCAAGGUGAAGAGUUCAAAGGACAACAUGAAGUCCACCAAACACAUAAGAAUGAGAUUAAAAGCUGUCAGAAAAUUAAGAAACUCCGGAGUGAUAGCGUUGGACUAUGUCCAUACGGCUAAGAAUCUGGCAGAUCCCUUUACAAAAGGGCUAUCACGUGUUGUGAUAGAUAAUGCAUCGAGGGAGAUGGGUAUGAGACCCACAUGAGUUGCCAUGGUGGUAACCCAACCUAUGUGAUCGGAGAUCCCGUGAACUAGGACCUGGGAAAACAAGCCAGUGGUGAACUGAGGAGAGUAACUAUACUAACCCACUCCGUUGGAGAUGCAAUACUCUCGAUACUGUAUGGUAGGANNNNNNNNNNCCGGAUACCCGUCGGUACUUGAAGGGUAUAGUGAUGCGAAUUGGAUCUCUGAUGCUGAUGAGAUGAAGGCCACAACUGGGUAUAUGUUUACUCUUGGAGGUGGCGCUGUUUCCUGGAAGUCUUGCAAGCAAACGAUCUUAACGAGAUCGACAAUGGAAGCAGAAUUAACGGCAUUAGACACAUCUGGUGUUGAAGCGAGAUGGCUUCGAGAUCUUUUGAUGGACUUGCCAUUGGUUGAUAAACCGGUUCCGGCUAUCCUUAUGAACUGUGACAAUCAGACUGUCAUCACCAAGGUGAAGAGUUCAAAGGACAAUAUGAAGUCCACCAAACACAUAAGAAUGAGAUUAAAAGCUGUCAGAAAAUUAAGAAACUCCGGAGUGAUAGCAUUGGACUAUGUCCAUACGGCUAAGAAUCUGGCAGAUCCCUUUACAAAAGGGCUAUCACGUGUUGUGAUAGAUAAUGCAUCGAGGGAGAUGGGUAUGAGACCCACAUGAGUUGCCAUGGUGGUAACCCAACCUAUAUGAUCGGAGAUCCCGUGAACUAGGACCUGGGAAAACAAGCCAGUGGUGAACUGAGGAGAGUAACUAUACUAACCCACUCCGUUGGAGAUGCAAUACUCUCGAUACUGUAUGGUAGGAUGACUACGGUCUCAAUGUGUUCCAAAGCUUAUAAAAGCAAGAUGCUAUCCUACAGAGCGAUCUUUGGAGGAACACACCUAUAUGAGCCCGACUGCUGGUCACAGUCUAUGAGAUUGGGGUGAUCUCUAGUAAGCUCAUGAAUAGGCCAGGAGUGUGACUUAUAUGCUCCACCCGAGGGGUCAGCCUUCGGCAGCCUAGUACUAGUAAGACAUGUAGUGAAACUUCUUUACGCCAAACUGACAAUUCAAGGCAUAGUCCAUUGUUCAGUUGUGAAGGAGUGUAGCCACUUGUUCUAGGUGAAGUUCAACCUUAACAGGUCUUUACUGAAACAUUGGUAUAUCGAAACAGCAAUUGGAACAGAGGACACAAUGGGCCCUCGAGAUCUGGUGGGGGAUUGCUGAAAUCUGAGAUGGGCUCUAGGCCCAUAUUGCAAUUUCUGAAAAAUCUCUAAGGGCCCAUGUGGGUUAUAUGGCACUAGGUGUGGUGGGAAGUUUAGUCCCACCCCGGAAGUGGAAGGAGAGUUGGAGUGGUUUAUAAGGGUUUCUCUUCUACAUGCUAUUGGAGCUUGAGAAGAGAAGAGGCCCUCGCGCACUCCUCCUCCGCCGCCCGCCUCGCCACGCCACGCCUCGUCACGACGCGCCGCGGGUUGCGGGAUUGAGCCGAGCCGAGCUCACACCUACGCGCUUAUUUUUGCCAGUCACUAACGGAGAGUUUUCUGACAGCUGGGCCACGAUCUGAGACGUCGGAUCGUGGACUGUCACGGACUCGGACGUGGGUCGAGCCCACGUCUCUCCACGCGGCUGCGCCUAUAAGUAUGCGGUGUCUCCUAACCCUAGCCGCCACGAACAGAUCACAUCUACUCACGCGCACGCCCACCGUCGUUCCUUUGCUGAUGCUGCCGCCGGUGACUCCAUCUCGUCCGCCACGUACACGGUCAAUGGGAGAGCAGGUCUCCGAAACCACGCCCUUCUGGUUCCUGUACGGGGUGAGGGGCGAAUAGGUUUUUGGGCAGCGAUUACGCGACUGCUCGCUUCCGAUCGUCUACUUCCUCUACGUCUGCGUCGCCUUCAUCAUCACCAUGUCCACCGACGCCGACCGUGCCGCCGCCGAGAAAGCUGAAGCCGACAAGAAGGUCGCCGAGGACGCCGCUGCUGCCACCAAAGCCGCGGCCUCUGCGUGGCCUACUGGAGGGUAUAACUCGUUUAUCCCGCUCCUGAUUAUUUUCAUAUUAGCAGUACUAGCAGUAUGUGUAGAUUUGUCUACUGUUUGCUUAGUACGUGCAUGUUUAGAUCAGAGUCAGUACGUCAUCAACUUAGUCAAUGCCAUGCUAGUGAUUUACUCAUGGAUUAAUUUAAUCGAGAAAUUUCCUAUUUACUCAACAAUCCAAAAACCUAUUAUGUGUAGGAAUUUCUCGGCAAGUGGUUUUGCCGCUGCACUGAAACCGGAUAAGUUUACCGGUACAUACUUCAAGCGUUGGCAUGGCUAAAGAUCAAUUGAGAUACUCUCAAACACCAUAUUUGGAUAUUUGGAUAUUCGGACUGCACACCAUCUCAAACACCAUAUGAUCCUAGCGUAUUGAUUCGAAAGUCCAAAGGCAUGGCUAAAGAUCAAUUGAGAUACUCUCAAAUCAUUGGUUCACUGAUGUACCUAGCGAGCGCAACGAGGCCUGACAUCGCGUUUGCUGUGAGCAAACUGAGCCGGUUUGUUUCCAAACCGGGUGAUGUACAUUGGCAUGCUGUUGAGAGAGUUAUGCGCUAUCUGAAAGGUACUAUGAACUAUGGACUUCACUAUACCGGAUACCCGUCGGUACUUGAAGGGUAUAGUGAUGCGAAUUGGAUCUCUGAUGCUGAUGAGAUGAAGGCCACAACUGGGUAUAUGUUUACUCUUGGAGGUGGCGCUGUUUCCUGGAAGUCUUGCAAGCAAACGAUCUUAACGAGAUCGACAAUGGAAGCAGAAUUAAUGGCAUUAGACACAUCUGGUGUUGAAGCGAGAUGGCUUCGAGAUCUUUUGAUGGACUUGCCAUUGGUUGAUAAACCGGUUCCGGCUAUCCUUAUGAACUGUGACAAUCAGACUGUCAUCACCAAGGUGAAGAGUUCAAAGGACAACAUGAAGUCCACCAAACACAUAAGAAUGAGAUUAAAAGCUGUCAGAAAAUUAAGAAACUCCGGAGUGAUAGCGUUGGACUAUGUCCAUACGGCUAAGAAUCUGGCAGAUCCCUUUACAAAAGGGCUAUCACGUGUUGUGAUAGAUAAUGCAUCGAGGGAGAUGGGUAUGAGACCCACAUGAGUUGCCAUGGUGGUAACCCAACCUAUGUGAUCGGAGAUCCCGUGAACUAGGACCUGGGAAAACAAGCCAGUGGUGAACUGAGGAGAGUAACUAUACUAACCCACUCCGUUGGAGAUGCAAUACUCUCGAUACUGUAUGGUAGGACGACUACGGUCUCAAUGUGUUCCAAAGCUUAUAAAAGCAAGAUGCUAUCCUACAGAGCGAUCUUUGGAGGAACACACCUAUAUGAGCCCGACUGCUGGUCACAGUCUAUGAGAUUGGGGUGAUCUCUAGUAAGCUCAUGAAUAGGCCAGGAGUGUGACUUAUAUGCUCCACCCGAGGGGUCAGCCUUCGGCAGCCUAGUACUAGUAAGACAUGUAGUGAAACUUCUUUACGCCAAACUGACAAUUCAAGGCAUAGUCCAUUGUUCAGUUGUGAAGGAGUGUAGCCACUUGUUCUAGGUGAAGUUCAACCUUAGCAGGUCUUUACUGAAACACUGGUAUACCGAAACAGCAAUUGGAACAGAGGACACAAUGGGCCCUCGAGAUCUGGUGGGGGAUUGCUGAAAUCUGAGAUGGGCUCUAGGCCCAUAUUGCAAUUUCUGAAAAAUCUCUAAGGGCCCAUGUGGGUUAUAUGGCACUAGGUGUGGUGGGAAGUUUAGUCCCACCCCGGAAGUGGAAGGAGAGUUGGAGUGGUUUAUAAGGGUUUCUCUUCUACAUGCUAUUGGAGCUUGAGAAGAGAAGAGGCCCUCGCGCACUCCUCCUCCGCCGCCCGCCUCGCCACGCCACGCCUCGUCACGACGCGCCGCGGGUUGCGGGAUUGAGCCGAGCCGAGCUCACACCUACGCGCUUAUUUUUGCCAGUCACUAACGGAGAGUUUUCUGACAGCUGGGCCACGAUCUGAGACGUCGGAUCGUGGACUGUCACGGACUCGGACGUGGGUCGAGCCCACGUCUCUCCACGCGGCUGCGCCUAUAAGUAUGCGGUGUCUCCUAACCCUAGCUGCCACGAACAGAUCACAUCUGCUCACGCGCACGCCCACCGUCGUUCCUUUGCUGCUGCUGCCGCCGGUGACUCCAUCCCGUCCGCCACGUACACGGUCGACGGGAGAGCAGGUCUCCGAAACCACGCCCUUCUGGUUCCUGUACGGGGUGAGGGGCGAAUAGGUUUUUGGGCAGCGAUUACGCGACUGCUCGCUUCCGAUCGUCUACUUCCUCUACGUCCGCGUCGCCUUCAUCGUCACCAUGUCCACCGACGCCGACCGUGCCGCCGCCGAGAAAGCUGAAGCCGACAAGAAGGUCGCCGAGGACGCCGCUGCUGCCACCAAAGCCGCGGCCUCUGCGUGGCCUACUGGAGGGUAUAACUCGUUUAUCCCGCUCCUGAUUAUUUUCAUAUUAGCAGUACUAGCAGUAUGUGUAGAUUUGUCUACUGUUUGCUUAGUACGUGCAUGUUUAGAUCAGAGUCAGUACAUCAUCAACUUAGUCAAUGCCAUGCUAGUGAUUUACUCAUGGAUUAAUUUAAUCGAGAAAUUGCCUAUUUACUCAACAAUCCAAAAACCUAUUAUGUGUAGGAAUUUCUCGGCAAGUGGUUUUGCCGCUGCACUGAAACCGGAUAAGUUUACCGGUACAUACUUCAAGCGUUGGCAGACUAAGACCACGUUAUGGCUCACGGCUAUGAACGUGUUCUGGGUCACCGGUGUCUCCACGGGAACGAUUGCUCCUGAACAGGAGAAGGCGUUCAAGGAGGCUACCGUUGUGUUUCUCGGAGCAGUUCUUAGCGUGAUCGGAGAUAAACUGGUCGACGCAUAUUUACAUGUGCAUGUCGCCAAGGACUUGUGGGAGGCGCUCGAAUCUAAAUUCGGGGCCGCCGAUGCAGGGAGCGAGAUGUAUAUUAUAGAGCAGUUCCACGAUUACAAGAUGGUUGAAAACCGUCCUGUAUUGGAGCAGGCUCAUGCGAUAAUAUGCAUUGUUAAGGAACUUGAGCUUCUCAAGUGCGAGUUACCGGGCAAGUUUGUCGCGGGCUGCAUAAUCGCUAAGCUCCCUAAUUCCUGGAGGAACUUUGCCACCACUCUGAAACAUCAGAGGCGUGAAUUCUCUGUGGAGGAUGUCAUUGGCCAUCUGAGUGUUGAGCAGAAUUCGAGGGCAAAAGACUCGCACGGAAAAGGGGCCGAAGGGACUUCUGUUGCCAACAUGGUGAACCAGAAGAACUUCAACUCCCACAAGCCCAAGGGAAAGAACGGUGUCCAACACAAUACCGACUUUAAGAAGAAGGGUAAGAAGACCUUCAAGAAGAACAAGAAGGACGAGGGCUGCUUUACUUGUGGUUCGGUUGAACAUUGGGCCAACAAGUGCCCAAACAAGUACAAGAAGUCAGGACAGGACUCCAAGUCUGUCAACAUGAUUGUGGGCAACAAUGAGACUGGUGCAUCUGGGUACGGUAAUUUAUUUACUGUUUUUUCAGUGUUUCAACCUAACGAUUGGUGGGUGGACACAGGUGCAGGUGUUCAUGUGUGUGCUGACAUUUCAUUGUUCACUUCUUACCAGGUCACAGGUCACGGGUCCGUAUUGAUGGGGAAUGGCGCGAGUGCUUCUGUUCAUGGUGUUGGCACGGUCGAUCUGAAGUUUACUUCGGGAAGGAUCGUGCAGCUGAAGAACGUGCAGCAUGUCCCCGCCAUCAAGAAGAACCUCGUUAGUGGCUCCCUUCUAUGUAGAGAAGGGUUUAAGUUGGUUUUCGAGUCUAAUAAAUUAGUUGUUACAAAAUAUGGACUCUUUGUUGGAAAAGGUUAUGAGAGCGGAGGGAUGUUCCGCCUUUCCCUCGCAGAUUUUUGUAAUAAAGUCGUGAACCAUAUUCAUUCGAAUGUUAAUGAAUCUGAAGUUUGGCAUUCACGUCUUUGUCACAUUAGUUUUGGUGUUAUGACGCGGCUAGCCAAGUUGGAUUUAAUCCCGAGUUUCACUUUAGCCAAAGGUUCUCAGUGCCUUUCAUGUGUGCAAGCUAAGCAACCUCGCAAGCCUCAUAAGGCCGCGGAGGAGAGACACCUGGCACCAUUAGAACUCAUACAUUCUGAUCUUUGCGAGAUGAAUGGUGUGUUGACUAAAGGUGGAAAGAGAUACUUCAUGACAUUGAUAGAUGAUUCCACUAGAUAUUGCUAUGUGUAUCUGUUAAAUACUAAAGAUGAGGCUCUACACUACUUUAAAAUCUAUAAGGCAGAAGUUGAAAAUCAACUUGAAAAGAAAAUUAAACGAGUCCGGUCAGAUCGUGGUGGAGAGUACUUCUCGAGUGAGUUUGAUUCCUUCUGUGCGGAACACGACAUUAUUCAUGAGAGGACGCCUCCCUAUUCACCCCAGUCAAACGGGGUUGCCGAGCGGAAAAACCGUACUCUAACUGAUUUGGUUAACGCCAUGUUAGAUACAUCGGGUUUAUCCAAGGCAUGGUGGGGGGAGGCUAUAUUGACGGCAUGUCAUGUCCUGAAUAAAGUUCCGACAAAGGAUACUGAGAUCACUCCCUAUGAGAAAUGGGCAAAGAGAAGGACGACACUCUCGUACUUGCGCACUUGGGGCUGUUUGGCGAAAGUCAACGUGCCGAUCCCCAAAAAGCGUAAGCUUGGACAUAAGACCGUGGACUGCAUUAAUUUGGGCUACGCUAAGAACAGCGUUGGCUAUAGAUUUCUAGUAGUGAAAUCUGAGGUACCUGACCAGAAGAUCGGUACAAUUAUGGAGUCUAAGGAUGCUACAUUCUUUGAGGAUAUUUUUCCUAUGAGAGAUAUGCAAAGCACUUCUAGACAGGAAUCUGAGGAGACUCCUGAACCUGCCAUCCCUAUGGAAUAUUAUGAACAAACACAUGAUGAAAAUCCCGAGGAGGAUGACGAGGAAACCCUUGGUAGGGGCAAGAGACAAAGGACUGCAAAGACCUUUGGUGAUGAUUUCUUCGUGUACCUCGUGGAUGAUACUCCCACUUCUAUUUCAGAAGCGUAUGCCUCUCCAGAAGCUGACUACUGGAAGGAUGCGGUCCGUAGCGAGAUGGAUUCCAUCAUGGCUAAAGGGACAUGGGAGAUCACUGACCGUCCCUAUGGUUGCAAACCACUGGGAUGUAAGUGGGUGUUCAAAAAGAAGCUUAGGCCCGAUGGUACGAUUGAAAAGUACAAGGCUAGGCUUGUGGCCAAGGGCUAUGACCAGCAAGAAGAGGAAGAUUUCUUUGAUACUUAUUCACCUGUGGCUAGACUGACCACCAUUCGAGUAUUACUCUCGUUGGCGGCCUCACAUGGUCUUCUCGUCCAUCAGAUGGAUGUUAAGACGGCUUUUCUAAAUGGAGAGCUAAAGGAGGAAAUCUACAUGCAACAGCCUGAUGGCUUUGUGAUAGAUGGUCAGGAAAGAAAGGUGUGUAGGUUGAUAAAAUCUUUAUAUGGCCUGAAACAAGCACCUAAGCAAUGGCAUGAUAAGUUUAAUACAACUCUGACAUCUGUUGGUUUCGUUGUUAAUGAGGCUGACAAAUGUGUAUACUAUCGCCAUGGUGGGGGCGAAGGAGUUAUACUGUGCUUGUAUGUUGAUGACAUACUGAUAUUCGGAACAAACCUCAAAGUCAUUGAGGAGGUCAAAUCGUUUCUAUCUCAGAACUUUGAGAUGAAAGACCUUGGUGUGGCUGAUGUUAUCUUGAACAUCAAGCUACUGAGAGAUACUGAGGGUGGGAUCACACUUCUGCAAUCCCAUUACGUUGAGAAGGUGUUGAGUCGUUUUGGAUAUUCGGACUGCACACCAUCUCAAACACCAUAUGAUCCUAGCGUGUUGAUUCGAAAGUCCAAAGGCAUGGCUAAAGAUCAAUUGAGAUACUCUCAAAUCAUUGGUUCACUGAUGUACCUAGCGAGCGCAACGAGGCCUGACAUCGCGUUUGCUGUGAGCAAACUGAGCCGGUUUGUUUCCAAACCGGGUGAUGUACAUUGGCAUGCUGUUGAGAGAGUUAUGCGCUAUCUGAAAGGUACUAUGAACUAUGGACUUCACUAUACCGGAUACCCGUCGGUACUUGAAGGGUAUAGUGAUGCGAAUUGGAUCUCUGAUGCUGAUGAGAUGAAGGCCACAACUGGGUAUAUGUUUACUCUUGGAGGUGGCGCUGUUUCCUGGAAGUCUUGCAAGCAAACGAUCUUAACGAGAUCGACAAUGGAAGCAGAAUUAACGGCAUUAGACACAUCUGGUGUUGAAGCGAGAUGGCUUCGAGAUCUUUUGAUGGACUUGCCAUUGGUUGAUAAACCGGUUCCGGCUAUCCUUAUGAACUGUGACAAUCAAACUGUCAUCACCAAGGUGAAGAGUUCAAAGGACAACAUGAAGUCCACCAAACACAUAAGAAUGAGAUUAAACGCUGUUAGAAAAUUAAGAAACUCCGGAGUGAUAGCGUUGGACUAUGUCCAUACGGCUAAGAAUCUGGCAGAUCCCUUUACAAAAGGGCUAUCACGUGUUGUGAUAGAUAAUGCAUCGAGGGAGAUGGGUAUGAGACCCACAUGAGUUGCCAUGGUGGUAACCCAACCUAUAUGAUCGGAGAUCCCGUGAACUAGGACCUGGGAAAACAAGCCAGUGGUGAACUGAGGAGAGUAACUAUACUAACCCACUCCGUUGGAGAUGCAAUACUCUCGAUACUGUAUGGUAGGAUGACUACGGUCUCAAUGUGUUCCAAAGCUUAUAAAAGCAAGAUGCUAUCCUACAGAGCGAUCUUUGGAGGAACACACCUAUAUGAGCCCGACUGCUGGUCACAGUCUAUGAGAUUGGGUGAUCUCUAGUAAGCUCAUGAAUAGGCCAGGAGUGUGACUUAUAUGCUCCACCCGAGGGGUCAGCCUUCGGCAGCCUAGUACUAGUAAGACAUGUAGUGAAACUUCUUUACGCCAAACUGACAAUUCAAGGCAUAGUCCAUUGUUCAGUUGUGAAGGAGUGUAGCCACUUGUUCUAGGUGAAGUUCAACCUUAACAGGUCUUUACUGAAACACUGGUAUAUUGAAACAGCAAUUGGAACAGAGGACACAAUGGGCCCUCGAGAUCUGGUGGGGGAUUGCUGAAAUCUGAGAUGGGCUCUAGGCCCAUAUUGCAAUUUCUGAAAAAUCUCUAAGGGCCCAUGUGGGUUAUAUGGCACUAGGUGUGGUGGGAAGUUUAGUCCCACCCCGGAAGUGGAAGGAGAGUUGGAGUGGUUUAUAAGGGUUUCUCUUCUACAUGCUAUUGGAGCUUGAGAAGAGAAGAGCCCUCGCGCACUCCUCCUCCGCCGCCCGCCUCGCCACGCCACGCCACGCCUCGUCACGACGCGCCGCGGGUUGCGGGAUUGAGCCGAGCCGAGCUCACACCUACGCGCUUAUUUUUGCCAGUCACUAACGGAGAGUUUUCUGACAGCUGGGCCACGAUCUGAGACGUCGGAUCGUGGGGCUGUCACGGACUCGGACGUGGGUCGAGCCCACGUCUCUCCACGCGGCUGCGCCUAUAAGUAUGCGGUGUCUCCUAACCCUAGCCGCCACGAACAGAUCACAUCUGCUCACGCGCACGCCCACCGUCGUUCCUCUGCUGCUGCUGCCGCCGGUGACUCCAUCCCGUCCGCCACGUACACGGUCGACGGGAGAGCAGGUCUCCGAAACCACGCCCUUCUGGUUCCUGUACGGGGUGAGGGGCGAAUAGGUUUUUGGGCAGCGAUUACGCGACUGCUCGCUUCCGAUCGUCUACUUCCUCUACGUCCGCGUCGCCUUCGUCAUCACCAUGUCCACCGACGCCGACCGUGCCGCCGCCGAGAAAGCUGAAGCUGACAAGAAGGUCGCCGAGGACGCCGCUGCUGCCACCAAAGCCGCGGCCUCUGCGUGGCCUACUGGAGGGUAUAACUCGUUUAUCCCGCUCUUGAUUAUUUUCAUAUUAGCAGUACUAGCAGUAUGUGUAGAUUUGUCUACUGUUUGCUUAGUACGUGCAUGUUUAGAUCAGAGUGAGUACGUCAUCAACUUAGUCAAUGCCAUGCUAGUGAUUUACUCAUGGAUUAAUUUAAUCGAGAAAUUGCCUAUUUACUCAACAUAACCCGGCCGGACUUGACGAUUCACUAAUGACCCACCCUAACUGGACGACGCACUAAGUGGCCCGCCCAAUCCUGGCGACUUAUGGGUGACCUGGCAAGCGGAUCAGAGGAGCGACAAGACCCGGGGGCCCAGGAGGCUCAAGGCCCAGAAGGCCGGCUUACGUUAUGAUAGGCCGGCUUAAGAGGAAAGGCGUAAGGAGUAUCUCCCUUACAAGGAAUCAAGACCCGGACUUGUAUCCGGCUUGUAGUACAAGAUAGGCUAGUCCUACUAGGACUCCACAUGUAACCCGCCCCUCUAACUUAUAUAAGGAGGGGAGGGCUCCCCAAAGAGGAAAAAAGCAACAAGAAAUAAUAUCUAGGGCUAGACACAAAGGGGGAGCCGGCUUACGGCGACUCUUCUCAUGAGCAUAAUGAGACCUGGCCACAAACAACAUGUAGGGUUGUUACCGGAUGAUGUUUCCCGGGGCCCGAAGCUGUCUAAAUCCUUGUCUUGCGUGUUGCGUUACUCGUCCCGAUCAACCCCUCGCUACCACAUAGAUGCGUUGGCCUCGCGAUUAAGUCUUGACACUAAGGACAUCUGACGUGUUGAUUCCACGACAACCUUCAUUGUUGAUCCCGUGGAUUCGCCUCUCCUCUGCCUACUGCUUCGGUGGUCGGCGGGGGCAGAGGGAUCUUGAUGUCUCGCUUUCGGCUAGUAGAUAGGUUAUGGUUUUAGCCCUUGCAGGGCGACACUUGAACAUAUGGUGUCUCUUAUUCUUCGAGUCGGUCAUCGGGCUUUGAUCUUUCUCAAGUUUGUUAGUCGAAACGGAUUAGACGGAGCUUCGGUGUGGAUUUCUGUCAGCUCCUCGGGACAACGAGGUUAGGGUUACUUGUCAUGCAUAUACGGAGGCAAGAUUUGUAGUCAGGUUCCCUAGAUCGAUUCAAGGGUUCAACGACGACGACUGUGGCUCCGAGCUGCUGGUCCUAGGGCCACAUGCAUAAAGGCUUCCUGGCUGUCAUCGACAUGGUCAGUCCAGCUCCGGUAUGAGAGGGCCAUUGAGGCGCGUCAGCGGCAAGGUGAUCCAGGAAUAUUGAUGCACUUUUUUUUUAUUAUAUUUGAUGAAGUGCUUUAUAUUUCUUGUAAACUUUUAUAAUAAUAAUAGAUCCUAAUCUAUUUUUUGCGGCAAAAAAAGGGUUAGCUUCGGCUAAACUGGCCCUCCCCGCGACCACGUCGUCCCCGCGGGCGAUCGGUCGCGCCUCGCCACCCCUCCCAGCGAGCGUUCCCCUUCUCCUCCUCCUCCCCGCCGCCGUCACUGGCGCGCGUCUCGGGCCUGGCCCGGGCGACGCUGGCGGCGGCGGCCCCUCGGCCUUUCCCCUCCCAGGGUUCUUCCGGCGCGGGACGGGGCGACUCCNNNNNNNNNNNNNNNNNNNNNNNNNNNNNNNNNNNNNNNNNNNNNNNNNNNNNNNNNNNNNNNNNNNNNNNNNNNNNNNNNNNNNNNNNNNNNNNNNNNNNNNNNNNNNNNNNNNNNNNNNNNNNNNNNNNNNNNNNNNNNNNNNNNNNNNNNNNNNNNNNNNNNNNNNNNNNNNNNNNNNNNNNNNNNNNNNNNNNNNNNNNNNNNNNNNNNNNNNNNNNNNNNNNNNNNNNNNNNNNNNNNNNNNNNNNNNNNNNNNNNNNNNNNNNNNNNNNNNNNNNNNNNNNNNNNNNNNNGUCGUUGACGACGGGGUAGCGCGGUGGCGCGGGCUGGCGGCGCUCGCCCGACCCAGAUCUGGACCCUUCGGGUCCCAUCUGGGCCGGGGCGGCCCGGCAUCGGGCGUGGCGUCUGCGGGGCUCUCGGGCGACGGUGGUGAGGUGUCCGGCUGGUGGCGGGCGGCGGCUUCGGCUGCCGGCGUGCAGCAGCGCCGUGGCUAGGGCUUUGCUGUCCCGCUAUGGGCCCUGCCAGGCCCGGGUGGCCUGGUUUGCCCUGGCUGCGGCGCCCGGUCGGCAAUCCGCAUCGGUGCGGGAGGCAGAGGCCUCCUGCGCGAUGGCGGUGGAGGCGGUUCCCUCCCGUUCGGCUCUGGUGCUCCCGUCCGUGCCAUCUAGGUGCAUCUCGCCUCUGUUUGCUUGUCCUCGUGGUGGUGCUCGCAGCAAGACGGCGUGGAUGGGUCCAAGACUGUGGUGGCACGUGCUGGCGGGUGGCAAGACGGUGGUUUGGCUCCAUUCUAGUGGGUGCCGGGGCAUGGGGGUGCGGGAGAAAUCUCUGCCGGCUCUUCCGGCUCCGACGUGGUGACGCCGGUGGGUUCCGCCAUUCCUUCCUGAAGGGCGUCGGUGCUACCCAUCCCCCGUUCCCCUUUUGCGUGUCGGGGGAAACCCUAGGACUUGUCCGGACAGCAGCGUUAUUGGCGUCGCAUUCCUUCUUGGAGGGCUCUUACAAAAUUCACUCUGUUUCUUCCGCCCCCAGUGCCCUGCUCUGGUUAAUUUGAUCUGUUAUUUAAUGCAGUAGGAGGGCGCUGUUGCGGAGGAUGGCAAGAGCCCAAGCAUCUGAUCUGGGACAACUUCACUCACGCAGGUAAUCAACGAACUUGUCGGUCUCCGUCAGUUUUCAAAACAAAACACAAAUAUGUUCGCUUCUGAUGGGUACUUUGUGAUUUUAUACACUCAAAUUAGCCAAUAUUAGAGCAGGGUAUACACAAAUGAGAGAGUAUAUAAUCAGUUGGUAAGCAACAUGUCUUUCUAUCCAUUUCGCAAGGUAGCUAGGGCAAAGCCUUCCUUCCCUCUAUCUCCAUUGUUGAUCCUGUGGAUUCGCCUCUCCUCUGCCCACCGCUUCGGUGGUCGGCGGGGGCAGAGGGAUCUUGAUGUCUCGCUUUCGGCUAGUAGAUAGGUUAUGGUUUUAGCCCUUGCAGGGCGACACUUGAACAUAUGGUGUCUCUUAUUCUUCGAGUCAGUCAUCGGGCUUCGAUCUUCCUCAAGUUCGUUCUUCGAAACGGAUUAGACGGAGCUUCGGUGUGGAUUUCUGUCAGCUCCUCGGGACAACGAGGUUAGGGUUACUUGCCAUGCAUACACGGAGGCAAGAUUUGUAGUCAGGUUCCCUAGAUUGAUUCAAGGGUUCAACGACGACGAUGACGACGACUGUGGCUCCUGGGCGUUGCUCCUAGAGCCACAUGCAUAAAGACUUUCUUGUCUGUCCCCGAUAAGGUUAUUUCAACUUUUGUAUCAGAGAGCCACUGAGGAGCGUCAACGGCAAGGUGAUCCAGGAAUAUCAAUGUAUCUUUUGUUAUUAUAUGUUUGAAGUGCUUUAUACUUCUGUAAACUUUUAUAAUACUCCAUAUCCUAAUGUUUUUUGGCAAAAAUAAUUAGUUGGUGGAGUUUGAAAGUAGAGUUGGCUUUGCCAACAACCAAUCCGACAACUUGUUGACAUAACGUGUCACGGUUUCUUGCGCACUAGACCACAAGUAGGAUAGGAUAGGAGCGUACCAACCGUAUAAUUUCCCGGGAAUCUUUGGUUUCUUAAACUUAAUAAUAAAAUCAAAAAAGAAAAGAAAAGAAAAGAAGACAGGACAAUAACCAAAGACUUGACUUCCCCCCGAGGUGCCUUCGGAGAAGAAACAAAACCACGGACCUGCAGCGGGUCAAGGUCUCCUCCUCCUCCUCCUCACACCACGGAGCUCCAUUGCGACCAACAGGUGCACACACGCUCUUCCUUAUCUUAGCUUAGAUUCCGUCUCUGCUGGGAGGCCUCUGGCCGCCCGGGCUGCGCAGGCGCGGCGGAGGAGGCCGCACUUUGUGCUCCUGGAUCUGGCAGCCGGACCUAGGUUGUCGCGUGGAAAUGGCAAAUCCAGUCCCCGUAUCAGGGUGACAUGCCAUUCUGAUCCGAUUUCUGCUCCUGAGCAUAAAUAAAUACUCAUCCCCUCUUCUUCCAUGCUGCAGAGUCAACCAACUAUCUCCUGAUGUGAUUGUCAAGUUUCAUCUUUGGAUGAGAGCUGUGUCCCCCGUGCUUGUUGAUGCCAAAUCGCUAACCCGUGGUCAAUCUUUCCUGUCAGUUGCGCACGCUGCUCGGCCCCCAACCUAUUCUGCUUGACUGACUGAACAGUUGUUUUGUCACCAGGUAAUGAUUUUGAUUGUGCUCAGUUUCCCUCAAAAAAGAUAAAAAAUUGAUUUUGACUGAAUAUGCACCAUGUCAGAUUAGUUCAUUCACAGCUUGCAAGUUUCCCAACACAACUAAAAUCGCAUGUUGAACAACCAACUACCUUCCCAGAAACCACAUACCAUGUAAUUAGCACUCUCCUUGUAUAAUUAUUAGUACCCUCUCCUUCGAAGAAGCACACUUCUAGCAUUUUUCUGACCUGUAUAACAACUGCAACUAUUUUGUUCCAUAAUAAGCAUUAGAGUUGCAUAGUUGAUACAACUAUAUUCAAGUCAAGAGUGUCAAGUCAUGCAAACGUGCGUGUAGUACUAUGUAUUAACAUGUCUUAAAUCUUUCCUUCCUUCAUGCUACGGUUUAUCAGGCCCAUGAGCAAAACUCUAUAUCUCUUUUCUUAUCACGGACCCUGUUAGUACUUUUGUCUGAUUAUCUCAGUGUCAGUCUGUCAGACGACAAAAAGUGUUGAUUAUACAUAUUUAUCUAGUACUGGUAGUACAUUGACACCAGGUAUCUUCUCCCAUGAUACAUUAAUAAAAAAAAUUCUUAAAUAUCAACAGAGCUACUCGUUCCAUCCAUGCACGAAACCAGUGGAGUAAUGUCAACAAACCUAUAAAUUUUCAGUUCGAAAACUAGUGGAAGUAAAACAACCAUUGGAGAAAGUUUCUCUCUGUUCAUACAAGCUAAGCUAACUCUCGACUUAAUUUUCUUGGAUGAAAUUGGUUAUUGCCCCAUUUAACAUAUUGAUCUAUAUUUAUUUUGUUCAGGACAAAUGGCGGAGGCGGUGCUCGUUGCUCUCGGAAAGAUUGGGAAUGUCUUAGCUGAUGAAGCUACCAAGGCUUUGCUGGCCAAGCUGUCAGAAAAAGUUAGUAAUCUGAUUGAUCUGGAUGACAAGAUUGAGGGAAUAGCGAAGCAAUUAAAUACAAUGAAGAACGUCAUACAGCAGAUAGGCACGCCGUACCUAGCCGACAAAGUCGUAAAGGGUUGGAUUGGGGAGGUGAGGAAGUUGGCCUACCAUGUUGAGGAUGUGAUGGACAAAUACUCAUAUCACUCUCUUCAUGUGGAAAAAGGGUUUCUGAAGAAGUGCCUCAAAGGAUCACAUUAUGUCCGGGUUUUUAGUCAAAUUGCCGAUGAGGUAGUCAAGAUAGAGAAGGAGAUAAAGCAAGUUAUCGGACUCAAGGAGCAAUGGCUGCAACCAUCCCAGCUUGUUCAUGACCCGUGCACUGAGAUGGAAAGACAACGGUCCCAAGAUAUCUUCCCUGAACUUGUGAAAGAUGAAGAUCUUAUUGGAAUUGAAGAUAACAGGAGAAUGAUGACUGAAUGGUUGUACUCGGAUGAGAUGGAGACUACGGUGAUAACGGUGUCGGGUAUGGGUGGGUUGGGAAAAACAACCCUCGUCACAAAUGUGUAUGAACGUGAAAAGAUCAACUUCCAAACAAGUGCGUGGAUGGUUGUGUCUCAGACCUACAGUUUGGAUGCUCUGUUGAGGAAGUUACUCGAGAAGGUUACCGAACAACCAUCAUCACCUAACAUUGACAGGAUGGAUGUGCAUGACUUGAAGGAAGAAAUAAAGCGAAAGCUUAAAGAUAGGAAAUGUUUAAUUGUAUUGGAUGAUGUCUGGAACAAGGAAGUGUACUCUCAAAUGCGAGAUGCAUUCCAGAAUUCUCAUGCAAGUCGCAUCAUCAUCACAACGCGGAACAAUCAUGUUGCUGCUGUUGCUCACUUGACACGCCGUAUCGUUCUCAAGCCUUUGGGGAAUGCUCACGCAUUCGAACUCUUCUGCAGGAGGGUCUUUUAUAUCAAGAAGGACCAUGAGUAUGAGUGUCCCAAUCAUCUCAUGAAAACUGCUAGGUCUAUAGUUGAUAGAUGUCAGGGUCUGCCACUAGCAAUUUUAUCAAUAGGUGGUGUUUUGUCUUCGAGGCCACAAACACAAUACUCUUGGGAGCAGAUAUACAAUCAACUCUCAACUGAGCUGUCGAAGAAUGAUCAUCUCCGGGCAGUUUUAAAUCUGAGCUACCAUGACCUAUCUGGAGACCUCAGAAACUGCCUUUUGUAUUGCAGCCUUUUCCCGGAAGACUACCCGAUGUCACGUGAGAGCCUUGUGAGGCUGUGGGUUGCAGAAGGCUUUGUGUGUAGCAAAGGAAAUAGCACCCCGGAGGAGGUGGCCGAGGGAAACCUGACGGAACUGAUAUACCGCAAUAUGCUUGAAGUCAAGGAGACAGAUGAACUGGGAAGGGUGAGCACCUGUACGAUGCAUGAUAUUGUGCGAGACCUGGCUCUUUGUGUUGCAAGCGAGGAGCAGUUUGUAUGUGCAAAUGAUUAUGCCACAUUGAUACAUAUGAAUAAGGAUGUUCGUCGUCUGUCAUCAUGUGGAUGGAAAGGCAAUACUGCACUGAAAAUUAAGCUUCCCCGUCUUCGAACUCUAGUGUCAGUAGGAGCAAUUUCAUCCAUGCCUGCCAUGCCGUUCUCAGUUUCGUCAGAAUCCAGCUACCUGACUGUCCUCGAGCUACAAGACUCUGAAAUCACUGAAGUGCCGGCAUGGAUAGGUACACUCUUCAAUUUACAUUACAUUGGCUUACGCCGCACCAAGGUGAGGUCACUCCCAGACUCUGUUGAGAAACUAUCGAACCUGCAAACUCUGGACAUCAAGCAAACUAACAUAGAGACCCUACCAAGAGGGAUUGCUAAGAUCAAGAAUCUACGGCACCUCUUAGCUGAUAGAUAUGCUGAUGAGAAGCAGACGGAGUUUCGAUACUUUGUCGGAAUUCAAGCACCGAAAGAACUGCCCAACAUUGAAGGGCUGCAGACUCUUGAGACCAUCCAAGCCAACAAAGACUUGGCUGAGCAGCUGGAGAGAAUGGUGCAAUUGCGAACUCUGUGGAUUGACAACAUAAGUUCUGCUGAAUGCGCAACUAUUUUUGCUGCCCUGUCAAAUAUGCCGCUUCUUUCCAGUCUGCUUCUUGCUGGAAGAGAUGAGAACGAGGCACUUUGUUUCGAGUCCCUCCAGCCAAUGUCCACACAUCUCCACAAGCUGAUCAUCAGAGGGAAAUGGGCCAAGGGAACGCUGGAGUGCCCGAUAUUCCGCAGCCACGGAGAAAAUCUCAAGUAUCUAGCUCUAAGCUGGUGUCACCUUUGGGAAGACGAGGAUCCACUGGGGAUGCUUGCACCACACUUGCCAAACCUCACAUAUCUGCGGCUCAACAACAUGCGCAGUGCAAACAUUUUGGUUCUUUCUGCAGAUUCCUUCCCUCACCUGAAGAGCCUUACACUGAAGCACAUGCAUAAUGUCAACGAGCUAAAGAUCAUCGAUGGCGCCCUUCCGAGCAUCGAAGGUUUGUAUGUCGUGUCAUUGUCGAAGCUGGAUAAGGUCCCUCAAGGCAUUGAAUCCCUUAGUUCCCUGAAGAAGCUCUGGCUGCUGGGCUUGCACGGGGGCUUCAAAGCUCAGUGGGACAAGAACGGAAUGCAGCAGAAGAUGGUGCAUGUUCAGGAGCUUCGUGUCUGAAUGUGGCACAGCGGUUCUUUCUGCAGUGGCUUUAAUCAUUCUGGUAUGUUAUAAUUAUUAAGACAUCAUUUGCGAGCCUUGUACUUCUAUAUCGUGAUACGAUUUCUGUUUUCAGGAGGCCCUGUAUUUCAGUUUGAUGCUGUAAUACUGAUUUCAGGAAACAGUUGUGUCGAACAUGUGAGAAAACAAUGUUGUGGAAUUUGUUUACCUUGUUGUUAGUAGAUACCGCCCGAUCUAUGUUUCUGCUGCAUCCUGGUUGUCGUUCUCGAAGAGGCACAUCCUCGACCGAUACUGAUUUCCGUGUCCAAGUGAAGCCCCUGCUCGAGUUGAGAGUCCGAGAGGCGGGAUUUUGUAGGAGCUCAACUCAAAAACUGCUGUGUUUUAUGUGAAGAAAAUGUUUUUUUUAGUAGCAGUUGUUUUAAUUCCGGUUUAGGCCGCUGCCUGGAGUUUGUACAGCUUUACUGAUCCUUCAUAGGUUGUACCCUGUACAUCAGUAGCACAAAUGCCAAGCCUGAUCACCGAGUCUGGAGUUAAGCUCUGGUCAGGGGAAAAAAAUGCCCUUUAAUUUCUUAGUCCUCUCAGGUUGACUGGGGAGCUGUUCUUUGACGUAAUGCCCAUGAAAAAGAGUUUCAUAAAUUUUAUUCGCCAUGGCAACACAAAAGAGCCGCUUCGGUGCAUCCUCUAAUCGAAUCAACGGUGGAGAGUAAAACAUACGCCUAGAUAUCUUAGGUACACUGCCGAUGUGCAUGUAGGAUUAUUAGACACUUGUAAGCACAAGAUUAUCUCACCACCCGUCCAUGUGCUUCAACAGUCGGAUUUGAUGGACACACGUGGUUUGGUCACUCGUUGCUGUCAAAAAAGUAAUGAGAGUUGGGGACCGUUUGAGCAGGCAGGAUGAGCGAUAAGCUAACCUGUCAUGGCCACAAAGGCACAUAUCAUCAGUACAGAUACAGACAGGCCGCUGCCAUGGCCUUCUUCUUCGUCUUGCUCCUCGCCGCCCAUGGCGCGGCCCCUGCUCUUGGCUUCACGCGGAGCGACUUCCCGCCGGACUUCGUCUUCGGCGCCGCCACCUCCGCGUACCAGGUAACCGUGCAUUUGUUUCCCUUGGUCAGCUGGUUUCUCUGUUAAUUUGCUCUGUUUUUUUAUGCAGUAUGAGGGCGCCGUGGCUGAGGACGGCAGGAGCCCAAGCAUCUGGGACACCUUCACUCACAUUGGUAAUCAACGAACUUGUCGGUUUUGUGCAGGUGUUGAUCAAAUCUGUUUCCAAAACAAAACAAAAUCUGCUUGCCUCUGAAUGACAGGGAAAAUGGCGGACAAAAGCACAGGGGACGUCGCUUCUGACGGGUACCACAAGUACAAGGUAAUCACGGUGAAAGUUUACAUGGCCGACAUGGAUGAUAACCUGAACAUUCUGUGGAAGGGAAAAAAAAUGUCCGAUUGUUGUUUGUUUCAGAUUAUACUAAUCCUGGGCAGUAUCAUCCGACAUUUCAGGAUGAUGUCAAGCUCAUGGCUGACACUAACCUGGAGGCUUACAGAUUCUCCAUCUCCUGGCCAAGGCUUAUUCCAAGUAUAAAAGCUUUCCACAAUAUCUCUACUGCUGUAUAAAAUGAAUUUGCACGGACAAUAAUAACUGAUCUUUGGCUUGCAGAUGGGAGGGGAGCUGUCAAUCCAAAGGGGUUAGAGUACUACAACAACCUUAUAAAUGAGCUGGUGAAACAUGGUAAGCUUAUUUAGAGUAAAAUAGCUUAUAAAUUCGAAUAUACUGACAAACUUUUUC